ACAGAAGUUUGCGGUCCUUGCCUUCUUAAUUAAGUAUCAAGGUCAAUUAAACUUUCUAGUGAGGUGAUAUGUUGGUGUAUUAUCUGUCAUGACAUUUGGUCUUUGUGAAAGUCUGAAAGACUUCCAAGACAAUACCAUGUGAUCUUAUAUAUCCUCUUGUCUCUUUGUAUAUUCUUUGUCCCCAACCUAAUCCUAUACUAUAGGACUAUAGGAUACACCUUCACCAAUCAUUCAAGUAGCCAACUGUUUCUCAAUAUGAAUUCUUUCAUCUAUUUAUAUUCAAGGCUACAAGCAUUUAGGACCAACACAAAACAUUCACAUCCUAAAGCAUUCAGUUUUCAAAAACUUGUUAUUGCUACAAUUUAUCUUAUUUUAAAACAAUUUCUUCUCAAGUUUUAACACAUACAACAAUGGGUUUUCGUGUCCCUAGUAUCAUCAGAAAGUCAUCAUUUUCUGCAAGCCGAGUAAUUUCAAAAGUUGUGGAUGUGCCAAAGGGAUAUCUUGCAGUGUAUGUUGGAAAACAAAAGCGAUUUGUGAUCCCCAUAUCAUACUUGAACCAACCAUCGUUUCAAGACUUGUUGAGUCAAGCUGAGGAAGAGUUUGGAUAUGAUCAUUCCAUGGGUGGCCUCACCAUUCCUUGCACAGAAGAUGUCUUUCAACACAUAACAUCUCGCUUGAACGGAAUAUGAAUCUAACACAAAAAAGAGACUGACAUAGUUUAGUAGACUAGAGACAUUUUUGUAAACUAGGCCUGUUAUCAAAUUGUAAAGAUGGGAAAAAAGACCAUUAGAUUGAAAUUCUUUAUAUAGCGUAUAUAUUAUUUUGUUUAGUGAAAACGAAUUCGACUACUCAAGCAGCUCCUCUACUUUUUUGGUUUAUUGCACUUCAGAACUUACAAAAUUCGAUUAUAUGAGUAAUUCUGCUUGCUAUAAGACAAAAAAUGAAUUGGCAUUCUGAAAAAUUUCAAAGCAGGAAUUGAGCACACACAUAUUCUUGGCAAAGGGCAGAUCAAAUUUAUUUUUCUUAAGACAAAAGGUGAAAUCUAAAUUUACCAUUUUUUUUUACUACAUAAUAUAGACAUGAAAUUAAAAUUUUGGAGUGCCAAAGCUUUAAUCUUACAUGAAGUACAUUCCUUUCAUAAACAAGUACACAAUACCAAUUCAUCAACAAGGGAAAUUAUUUCACUGAAUGACAUAGGCCUCAUUAUAUGGUUCCUGUUAGGAUAUCCUUAUCUAAAGAAUUGAAUGGUUAGUACUUACUUAGUGAGAGACAACAGCUCAAGAACCACCACAUGGUGCUGUCUUAUGACUACAAGUUUUUCUUGAAGUGUCACCUACGUAUUCAUUGCUGAAAUAACGACCUUGUUUUUUCUUCAAGACAUCUCAUAUUUUCACUUUUUUGUCCACCUUUCUUUGAUCUCUAUAUUGAUUAGUACUAAUAAAUUUUGUAUCGCUAACAUGGCGUUAUGACAGCUAAAGGAAAUCUCUUUAAUUGUUGGAACAUUAUUUGCACAUAACUAUUAGUCAUUUUGGUCUGAUAGAAGUUUAAAUUCAAUAUUGGUUGCAUGUUAUAAUGUCUUCUGCAGUCAAAAUCAAUGGCUUUCUUUAUCAUAACAGCUUGCAGGACUAGUACUUUGUGAAUAGCACGGAAAGUCCUUUUGAUUGUAAUAUAUGUUGUGAAUUCGGUCAAUUCCAAACUUCACAUCAAUAAAAUUUAGAUUCGUGGCAACCAACAACCAAAAAUUGAUUAACCACAAGCAACAACAACAAGUGCAUGGCAAAACCACAAUCCAACCAAAGAAUAAACAAGAUAAAGAGAGUAAAGACAAGAUAACAACACCAAAGAUUGUUGACUCAGUUCGGUCCAACUUGACCUAAUCUGGGGGAGAGAUUGAUCUCUCCAAUCCACUAUCAAUGAGUUUUUACAAAGAGAUACAAAUGGGUUACAAGAAAUUAGCUUCAACAAGCUCACAAAGAACAACCCUAAUUUCUACACAUUUUACCAAUCUCACCAAUGAACAAGACACUCAUGAUUUUCACUCUCCCUGUUUACAAUUGUUUCAAAACUCAAGAAUCUAACCCCCAAAAGAGAACCAACCCUUAGUCUUUGAUUUCACUAAGGAUCUUCUUUUUUGGUUUUACAAGACUCACCCAAAAAGACUCUCCACUCAUGUGUUUCCCAACCCCAUGAAUCUUCCCCAAAAGACACCAACCCCUUUCCCAAGAGCCCCUUCUUUUGGUUCUCCAAGAUUCACAUCUUAAAGCUUUGAACCUCACCCAAAGACCCUCAACCUUUAGUAUCUAAAACCCUAAAAGUUCCCUCCUUUGGUUUUCAUGAGAUUCACCAAGCUUACCCAACAAAUGGGUCAUGGAGUGCUUAUAUAGUGUUUAGAUCCGGACAAAAUCGUGUCACGAUUUCCCAAAUCGUGACACGGUUGAUGCGUACGACCCAAGGUACGACCAACCUUAUCCUGAAACCGUGCCGAACAAGUUGAAAAUCGUGUCACGUUUUCCCAAAAUCGUGUCACGAUUGAACACAUCAAGGAACCAUGCUCACUACCUGCCAAAUCGUGACACGGUACACAAAUCAUGUCACGAUCCUGAAUUUUGCUAAAAAUCAUUUUUGAGGCACUUUGCAACAGUAUAGUCUUCAUCAAUACCGCACUUUUUCCAACUGCACAAGCACUACCAUGCAACAUAUAAUUAAAUUGCAAACUGGUAAGAAAUUGUUGUAAGCUGGGAAUUUCCUAUAAACAACCACAUGCCUUGGUAGUUGGUUAGGCCCAUUCACUUAAUUCUCAGGUUUGUAACCUGUCCUCCUUGAAUCUAGUAAAUGUAAAUCUUAAACCAGUCAACUUCUCCUAUGAAGAUUUGUUGCCCUUGAUAUCUAAAGGGACAUGAAAAACUAUGGAAGAGUUUUACAUAUUAAGCUUUACAUGAAGAGAUAUAAUUGAUUGACAAUGUAAAACUUUUAUACGUUCUAAGUGCAUGUUUUGUCUUGUUCACCCCUUCGAACAUUUCUGUCAAGUGCCAAUAGUCAACACACAAUGCUGCUAUAUUAAUUCAUGACAUCAUGGUCACAUUAUAAUUUCAUUCAGGUUGCACUAAGAUGGUGUACUAACAUGGACCGAGAUUAAAAGCUUCAACAAAGAGAGGAUGCAAUAAAAUCUUGAUAUAUUUGAUUUUGAGCUGAGGAUAUGAUUCCCUUUGAUAUAAAAGGAACAUGGGAAGCUACGGAAGAUUGUUAUAGAUUGGUGCCAGCAGCUUUGGCAUAAAAAAACUCUCCAUAGUCUUACAAGAUGCAAUAAUCUCUCCUGCAGUUAAUCAGGUAGAAUAAGAAUUUAACACCAGUUGAUUUGGUUCAUCCUGACGGGUUAAACAGGGCGGAUCAAGAAUUUAACACUAGUUGAGUUGAUUUGAUCAUGUCUUGUUUUUUUGGCGGGUUAAACGGCACGGAUCAACUUAGUAGUGGAACACAGAACUUCAACUCGUCUCGCUGGAAAUUGCGGAUUCAACGGGAUGGCACAGCAGACUUGGCCCGAUUUUUCACUCAUACUUGAGUGUUUUCUCUUAGUGUUUUAUCAAUAAAUUUACGCAAUAAACUUAUCUUUUUAAUUUUGGAAUUAAUUCAUAUAAUUGAACGGAUUGUGAUACUUUAAUACUGUUCUAUAUAUUAGAAUUUCUUGAGAUCUGGAAAAAACUAAAAAUAAUUGAAGAGUUGUGAUAACAUUAUCAUUGAGGGAACAUUUUGUUUCCGUAGGAAUGAUUGAUACAUGGAAGAAACAAAAUGAAAAAAAAUAUUAAUAACAGAAAAAAUUGUCAUCUGAGCAAAUUAGCCUCAACUAAUCUAUCUUAAUCUGUAUCCAAAAAAAAUAAAAAUCUAUCUUAAUCUCCAUUAGCAUGAUUUACAAAUCACUUAAGCGAGAAGUGAGUUGUAAGAAAGCAUCUUCACCGCAAGGAAUUGUAAGACCACCCAUUGGAUGAUCAUAUCCAAAUUCUUCUUCUGAUUGAUUUAGUAAUUCUUGAAACGAUGGCUGGCUCAAAUAUGAUACUGGAAUCACGAACCGCCUCAUUCUAUCUCCAACAUAGACUGCGAGAUAGCCUUUUGGGACUUCAAGUCCCUUGGCAGUCUCUUGUGUUUUGGAAAAUGAUGGCAUUCUGAUAAGCUUUGCUAUGCGGAAACCCAUUGUUUUUAUUAUGUAUGGCUCCUCACAAAAAGAUACUGAUGAUGGCAGAGGAUUGGAUGAGAAAGAAAUAUUUGAAUUCUUAUAAUUCAGAAUGCAAAAGAUUUAUGUUGAUUUGAGAAUCCAAGGAAUAAUGUAUAUAUAGUUUCUAAGGGCCUCUACAAACCAAUUAAUCAGUGAAUGUAAUUUGGUGAGCUGUGAUAGGGUCAAGUGAAGGACAAGGGAUCACAUGGUAUUGUCCUAUACAUAUUUUUUCAAGGAUUAGGAAGCUUAAUGGAAGAGCAUGCACAUACCCCACAUUGUGAGAUAAUGGCCAACAAAUAACCCUACUUGAAGUUUGAGACAAUGCAAUGGUGAAAGAAACCUGAUGUUUUUUCUUGCAUUUGGGUAUAGAUAAUCCAAUUGUAGACAUGCUUUAGACAUCUCACAUGUUUCUUCUAAUUGACAUUGCAGCAAAUAUACAUCUACCAACUGAAUAUAUAUCAUAUUUAUGUGAAACUUAUAAGGUUGUGUAGGACCUGAUUGAUAGCUUAAAAACAAAGACUGUGAGGAGGAAAAAAGAAAAUCGAUAUUGAACACAAGAUCAUGAUAUUUGCUUACCAGAACAGAACUUCGCGGUCCCUGCCUUCUUAAUUAAGUAUCAAGGUCAAUUAAACUUUCUAGUGGGGUGAUGUGUUGGUGUAUUAUCUGUUAUGACAUUUAGUCUUUGUGAAAUACUUCUAAGACAACACCAUGUGAUCUUAUAUAUGCUCUUGCCUCCUUGUAGAUUCUUUGACCCUAACCUAAAUUUUAAUUCUAUACUAUAGGAUACCCCUCCUUCACCAAUCAUUCAAGUAGGCAACUGUUUCUCAAAAUUAGUUCUUACAUCUAUAUAUAUUCAAGGCUACAAGCAUUUAGGACCAACACAAAACAUUCACAUCCUAAAGCAUUCAGAUUUCAAAAACUUGGUCUUUGCUUAAAAGUUUAUUUUAUUUUUAAACCAUUUCUUCUAAAGUUUUAACACAUACAACAAUGGGUUUUCGUUUCCCUGGUAUCAUCAGAAAGGCAUCAUUUUCUGCAAACCGAUCAGCUUCAAAAUCUGUGGACGUGCCAAAGGGAUAUCUUGCAGUAUAUGUUGGAGAGAAACAGACGCGGUAUUUAAUCCCCGUAUCAUACUUGAGCCAACCUUCAUUUCAAGGCUUGCUGAGUCAAGUUGAGGAAGAGUUUGGAUAUGAUCAUCCCAUGGGUGGCCUCACCAUUCCUUGCACGGAAGAUGUCUUUCAACAUAUAACUUCUUGCUUCAAUGGGCUAUGAAUCUGAGACCAAAAGAGUCUGACAUAGUUUAGUAGAGACAUUUUUUGUAAACUAGGCAUCUGAUGAAUUUAUGGAGUAUAUAUAUAUUUUUUGUUUAAUGAAAACGAAUUCGACUACUCAAGCUGAUCCUCUAUGUUUAUGUUUAUUGCACUUGCUAUAAGAAGAAAUUUUUUUUCCCUAGGACAAAGGUGAAACAUAAAUUUACCGAAGUGUACAAUAACAAUUCAGUAACAAAGUCAAUUGUUUCACUGAAUGACAUAGGCUGCAUUCUAUGGUGCCUGUUAGGAUAUCCUUAUCUAAAGAAUUGAAUGACUCAGGAGGCUAUAUGACUCACUAACCACCACAUGGUGUUGUCUUAUAGAUUUUCAUCAAGAGACACAAGAGAUUUUAGAAUAAUGGCAUUUUUUUUUUAGAAUAAUGAAUAAACAAGUAUUAGCUGUUGACUUGCUGUACAUAUUUCUGUUUAAAAAAAAAUUCAAAUGGGUACCUACUCGCUCCUUCAUCAGAAUGUGGGGCAUUCAACAUGUAUAAUUUUUUCAUCUUUGAUUGAAGACGUCCUACACAAUACCAUGUGAUCCUUCACCUUACUUUGCAUAGGCCUUCAAUCAUUUAUGAACCUAGUGGUUUUCCAAACAAUAAACUUAUAAAUUCAAGUAUUGCACAUACUUCCUAAUCAUAGUCUAUCAUUGUAACUUUUCCUUAGUUAUUUAUGUUAUAUUUAUAUUCAGAUUUCAGACUCAAUGUUAAAAUACAUUUUUUUUUUGAUGAAAAAUCCAAAACCUUUUUUUCCAUCCUUUUUAUUUCAAAUGUUUACAUAUAACUUUUAAUAUGUACUUCAAUAUAUGCACGAAAUGUUUCUAGUUACCUUGAAACACAAGUAACUUACUAGUGUUUCCAAUACAGUCAGGAACAGUUGCAUUCUUAUGAUCUUAAAUUCAUGAUGUUAACUUUGGACUAACAUCUAAUAUUAUUUGAUCAAUAAAUUUGUUGUUGAUCCCAAGGAAACAUAUUUAAGCAAUAAAUUUAUUUUCGUUUUGAUUCUGGAAUGAGUUCAUAUAACAAAUUAAUGAUGCUGCUGUAUAUCACAGAAUUUGUUGAAAUAUAGAAAAAGGUAAAAAUGAUUUAACAAUAUCUUGUCAUAGCAUUCUCAUUGAGGGAACAUUUUGUUUCCAUAGGAAUGAUUGAUACAUGGAAGAAACAAAAUGAAAAAAAUAUUCAUGACAGAAAAAAAAAAUGGUUCUGUGCUAAUUAGCCUUAACUAAUCUAUCUAAGUCUGAUUAGCAUGAUUUACGGCUCAAUUCAAUCGAGAAGUGAGUUGUAAGAAAGAAUCUUCACUGCAAGGAAUUGUGAGACCACCCGUUGGAUGAUCGUAUCCAUCCAAAUUCUUCUUCUGCUUGAUUUAGUAAUUCUUGAAAUAAUGGUUGGUUCAAGUAUGAUACUGGAAUCACGAACCGUUUCAUUCUAUCUCCAACAUAGACUGCGAGAUAGCCUUUUGGGACUUCAAAUCCCUUGGUAGAUGCUUGCGUUGAGGAAAAUGAUGGCAUUCUGAUAAGUUUUGCUAUGCGGAAACCCAUUGUUUUUUUUUUUUUUUUUUUUUUUUUAUGGUUAGAGGAUUUGGAUGAGAAAGAAAUAUUUGAAUUCUGAUAAUUUAUGAUGCAAAAGACUUGUGUUACUUGAGACCCAAAGAGUAGUGUAUAAAUAGUUGCUAAGGGACUCUACAAACCAAUUAGCCAAUGAAAGUAUUUUGAUGAGCUGUGAUAGGGCCUAGUGAGGGACAAGAGAUCACAUGGUAUUGUCUUAUAGAAGUCAUUUUCAAGGAUUAGAUGAAGUUAAAUGGAAGAACAUGCAAAUACCCCACUUUGUAACACAAAGGAAAAAUUAAAGACAGUGGAUUGAUGAAAGAAACCUGAUGUUUUCUGCUAUAGCUAAUCCAAUGGUUGACAUCCAUUAGACAUCUCAUAUGUUUCUUCUAAUUGAUGUUAUAGCUAAUAUACAUCUACCAGCUAAAUACAUCUCAGAUUUGUGUGCAACUUGUUAGGCUUGUGUUGGAACAGUGUGAGGAGGAGAGAAGAGAACCGAUAUUGAACACAAGAACAUGAGCCACUAUGAACCACAUUUUAUAUUUUUGCAUGACAGACUCCACAAAAUUUGCAUACCAGAACAAAACUUUGCGAUCCCUGCCAUCCUAAUCAAAUAUGAAGGUCAAUUAAACUUUCUAUUCCAUGAAUAGGUCUGUUUUAUGGUAGGGUAGGCCUCUAAGACAAUACCAUGUGAUCUUAUAUAUGCUCUUGUCUCCUUGUAGAUUCCAUGACUCCAUCCUGAUCCUAUACUACAGUAUAUACUUCCACUAAUAAUUCAAGUAGCCAAUGGUUUCUCAAAAUUCUUUUAUCUAUAUAAAUUUUAUAGGUUAGAACCAUUUAGAACCAACUCUAAUCAUUCACAUCCUAAAAACAUUUGCAAUUUGAAAAACUUGGCUAUUGCUUUUAAUUUUUUUCUAAAACCACUUCUUCUAACUUUUUAACACAUACAACAAUGGGUAUCCGUUUCUCUGGUAUUAUCAGAAGGGCCUCAUUUUCUGCAAACCGAGCAAUAUCAAAAGCUGCGGACAUGCCAAAGAGAUAUCUUGCUGUAUAUGUUGGAUAGAAACAGACACGGCAUGUGAUCCGCAUAUCAUACUUGAACCAACCUUCAUUUCAAGAAUUGUUGAGUCAAGCCGAGGAAGAGUUUGGUUACAAUCAUCCCAUGGGUGGCCUCACCGUUCCUUGCACGGAAGAUGUUUUCCAACAUAUAACUUCUCACUUGAAUGGACUAUGAAUCAAACACCAAAAUAGACUAACGUAGUUUUAGUAGAGAUAAUUUUUUGUAAUCUAGUUAUCUUAUCAGAUUGUAAAGAUGAAAAAUGUCAUUAGAUUGACAAAUUUAUAGCAUAAAGACAUUUUUUAAUGACAAUGAAUUCGACUACUCAAACAUCUCCUUUGUGUUUUUGGUUUAUUGCACUUAAAAACUUAUGAAAUAUGACUAUAUGAGUAAUGUUGCUUGCUAUAAGAAAAUUAAGGGACUAGGUAUCCUGAAAAUUAAGGGAAUUUUUAUUUAUUUUUAAUUUAUUUUUAAUUUUUUUUAUAAACUACAUAACAUUUUCAAAGCUCUUCAUCAAUCAUUUGUGUACCAAAUGGUUUUCCAAACCACUCUUUAUCUAUAUAUAUUUAGAGAUGAUUAUGGUUGCUGUCAGAAACAAUUAACUUCCUCUAAUCAUAGCCUAAUAUUUUAAUUUUUUUCCUAGUUAUUUAUGUUAAACAUAUAAUGGGCGACAUUGUUAUUGAGUAGGGUGAUGGUUCGUAACUAAAUACUAAAUAUUCAUAAAUCUAAAACCUUUUUCCAUCGUUUAUAUUGUAGAUGUUUACAUAUAAUUUUUCAUUAUAUACGCACAAAAUGAUUCUAGUAACCUUGACACACAAGUAAUUUAUUGCAGCCUUUCCAAUAUACUGUCAAGAAAAGUUGCAUUUAUGAUCUUAAAUUCAUGAUGUUAACUUGGAGUGUCUUCUGGUAAUGUUUGAUCAAUAAAUUUGUGUUUCAACAUGAGGAGAUAUAUUUAUGCAAUAAAUUUAUUUUCUUUUUGAUUCUGGAAUGAAUUCAUAUAGCAAACUAAUGAUGCUGUAUAUAAUAGAAUUUGUUGAGAUUUAGAAUAAGCUAAAAAUGAUUUAACAAUAUCUUGUACCAACAUUCUCAUUGAGGGAACAUUUUGUUUCCGUAGGAAUGAGUGUUACAUGGCAGAAACAAAAUGAACAAAAUAUUCAAAACAGAUAAAAAAAAAAAAGCCUUCUAUGCAAAUUAGAAUGAACUAAUCUAUAUUAAUCUCUAUUAGCAUGAUAUCUACAGCUCAAUUCAUGCGAGAAGUGAGGUUUCGGAAUUCAUCCUCGCUGCACGGAAUGGUAAGACCACCCAUUGGAUGAUCAUAUCCAUAUUCUUCUUCAGAUUGAUUUAGCAAUUCUUGAAAUGAAGGUUGGUUCAAGUAUGAUACUGGAAUCACAAACCGCCUCAUUUGAUCUCCAACAUAGACUGCGAGAUAGCCUUUUGGGACUUCGAAUCCUUUACUAGAUGCUUGUGUUGACGAAAAUGAUGGCAUUCUGAUAAGCUUUGCUAUGCGGAAACCCAUUGUUUUUUUCUUUUAUUGUUAGAGGAUUUGGAUGGGAAAUAUAUAUUUGACUUAUGAUAAUUUAGGAUGCAAAAGACUUACGUUGCUUGAGAACCCAUGGAAUAGUGUAUAUAUAGAAGCUAAGGAACUCUACAAAAUCAAUUAGCCAAUGAAAGUAUUUUGGUGAGCUGUGAUAGGGCCUAGUGACGGACAAGGGAUCACAUGGUAUUGUACUAUUGUCUUAUAGAAGUCAUUUUCAAGGAUUAUAGAUGAAGUUAAAUGGAAGAACAUUCAAAUACCCCACUUUGUAACACAACUAUGGAAAAAUUAAAGACAGUGGAUUGGUGAAAGAAACCUGAUGUUUGUUAUUGAAUUUUGGUAUAGCUAAUGCAAUGGUAGACAUGGUUUAGACAUCUCACAUCUUUCUUCUAAUUGACAAGGAAACUAAUAUACAUAUACCAGCUAAAUAAAUCAUAUUUAUGUGCCACUUGUAAAGCUUGCGUAGGACCUGAUUUAUAGUUCAGAAGCAGUGUUAGGAGGAAAAACGAGAACAAAUAUUGAACACAAGAUCACAAACCACCAGGAACCACAAUUUAUAUUUUUGCCAGACAAACUCCAUGAUAUUUGCAUACCUGAACGGAACUUUGCGGUCCCUGCCUUGCUAAAUAAGUAACAAGGUUAAUUAAACUUUCUCUUGCAUUGAUAAACCUGUUUUCAUGUAGGGAGAUAUAUGUUGGUGUAUUAUCUAAGACAAUUCCAUGCGAUCUUAUCUAUGAUCUUGUCUCCUUUGUAGAUUAUUUCUCGUUCACUAGUCAUUCAAGUAGCCAACAGUUUUUCCAUAUUCUCUUAUCUAUAUAUAUUAAAGGCUACAAGCAUUUAGGACCAACACAAAUCAUUCACAUCCUAAACCAUUCCAAUUUCAAAAACUUGCUUCUUGCUUACAGGUCUUUUUUUAAAACUGAAUAUUCUCAAGUUUUAACACAUACAACAAUGGGUUUUCGUUUUGCUGGUAUCAUCAGAAAGGCAUCAUUUUCUGCAAACCGAUCAGCUUCGAAAGCUGUGGACGUGCCAAAGGGAUAUCUUGCAGUAUAUGUUGGAGAGAAACAAAAGCGGUAUGUGAUCCCAAUAUCAUACUUGAACCAACCAUCAUUUCAAGACUUAUUGAGUCAAUUUGAGGAAGAGUUUGGAUAUGAUCAUCCCAUGGGUGGCCUCACCAUUCCUUGCACCGAGGAUGUAUUUCAACAUAUGACAUCUCGCUUGAAUGGCCUAUGAAUCUGACACCAAAACAGACUGACAUAGUUUAGUAGAAAUAUUUUUUUGUAUUCUAGUUAUCUCAUCAAAUUCUAAAAGAUGAGAAGGAAAUGACCAUUAGAUUAGCAAAUUGUAAAUAUGUUUUGUUUAAUGAGAAUGAAUUCAACUACUCAAGCAGCUCUUUUACGUUUUUGGUUUAUCGCACUUAAUGAACUUAUAAACUUAUGAAAUACGACUAUAUGAGUAAUGUUGUUUACUAAAAGACAAAAAUACUUUGUAUUCUGAAACAUUUCAAAGCAGGACUAGAACACAUAUUCCUACAAGGGUAUAGCAAAAUUAAUUUUCAUAGGACAAAGGUGAAACAUAAAUUUACAAAGUUUUCUUUUUAAUAACUACAUAACAUAGACAUGAGGUAACUUCCCUUCAUAAAGAACAAGUGCACAAUAACAAUUCAGUAACAAGGUCAAUUAUUUCACUGAAUGACACAGGCCUCAUUCCAUGGUCCCUGUUAGGAUAUCCUUAUUUAAAGAGUUGAAUGGUUAGUACUUAGUAGGCUAUAUUAUAUGACAGGGUUUAGUAUGAGACAAUGGCUCACGAACCUCCACAUGGUGUUUUAGAAUAAUGGCCCACUUUGAAGAUGAGUUGCCCACAUUUUUAUUGCUCGAAUAAUUACCUUGUUCUUUCAUCCACAUACACUUGUUUUGUCGUUUGCACACAACGUCAACUUGAUAUGCCACUGACUACCAUUAUCAAGAGUAAUUUUGAUACAACGUCACCUUUAGUCAACAAUCAGCUCUGAUACCACUGUUGGAUCAUGAGGGGAGCCUAGGGUUAAUCACAUUGGCCUAGAGCAAUCACAUAAGUGGCUUCGACAUCACAUCUUGAAUCAAAACCAUUUGCCAUCAGAUAAAUGAGUCAUUUGUCCUAACAAAUAAUGCAUCGCCAAAAUGAAGGAAUGAAUAUGACAGCUAAAGGAAAUUUCUUCAAUUGUUGAUACAUUAGCUGCACAUUACUAUCAGUCAUUGGUCUGCUAGAAGCAUAAAUUCAAUGGUUGCGUGUUAUAAUGUCUUCUGCAGUCAAAAUCAAUGGCUUUCUUUAUCAUAACAGCUUGCAGGACUAGUACUUUGUGAAUAGCACGGAAAGUCCUUUUGAUUGAAUAGUCUUCAUUGUUGUAUAUAUGGUGGGAAUUGAUUAUGAGUAAUCACAUGACUUGGCAGUUGGUAAGGACCCUACACACUUGAACUUUCAGGUGAAGUUUUCAUCUCUUCAAAGUCAUGAAUACAUAUGCACGCCAAUGAUCCUAUAGUCCCAACUAUAGUAUUAUAUGAUAUAAUGAGGAAGGGAAAGAAAGACCUCACACUAACAAUUAUUAAUAAUUAAUCAUAACCGUUGAUUGAUAUUAAAAUGGAAGGUCAAAAUUUGGAGUAACUAUAGAGACUUACUCUUGAUCUUGGAGUCAAUAUAUUCCUCCUCUAAUGAAAUAUAUCUUCAAAAUGGUUACGAUUUAAAGAAUUAAAAUAAAUCAAUGAGUUAAUAUAACCAUUGUCAAUGGACUAAAACAAUUUUAUUAAAGUAUUGCACAUGAUUAAACAAUUGUAGUGGAUGCCACAUGUAAUGUUUGUUUAGAAUGUCAAGGAGACAUGUCAUGUGUAUUUAGGUAUUCUAUUGAUUGUGAAUUGUAUGGUAUACAUAUGAGAUGUCACAAUUUUUUUUUUGUUUGAGGGAAUGUCACAUUUAACUAUUGUCAUGUAUUUAACAAUUGCACCAAUUUUAGUGAUAACCUAGUCACCAAGAAAACCCCUAUUAAAAAUAUUCAUACACGAUCUUGAUUUGGUCAUUGCUUUGGUCAUUAGGGAACAAAUAGUCAAAUAGUCAAUAAUAUAAUAAUUGUAAGGCUAAAAUAUGGUUUAGUCCCUGCAAAUAUGGCUCGUUUUGGUUUUAGUCCCUGCAAAAUAUUUUGUUUUUGAAAAUAGUCCCUGACCCCACUUUUGUGAUGAUUUGCAUACGUGGCACAAUAUAACUAAACCAAUUUUGUAGUUUUUGGUCCCUGCAAAAUAUUUUGUUUUUAAAAAAGGUCCCUGCAAAUAUUUUUGUUUUUGAAAAUAGUACAGGGACUAUUUUCAAAAACAAAAAUAUUUGCAGGGAUCAAAAAUAACAAUUUUUUUAUACAGAGACUAAAACGAAAAUGAGACAUAUUUGCAGGUAUUAAAACCAUAUCUUAACCUAAUUGUAAUAUCUUAUCUGUGUCUUAGACUAUCAUUUAUAAAUUAUAAACUCAAAUCUCAAAGUUAACAUUUAUAAGGGACAAUUGUGAAUUGUGUGAAGCUUGUGCCUUGAACCAACACAAAGAAGAAAAAAAAGAUGGAAACAAAGAAAGUUCCAGAGGUGGUACUAAAUUCAGGGAAAAAGAUGCCAAUGAUAGGCUUUGGAACAGGAACAACUCCUCCUCAACAAAUUAUGCUUGAUGCUAUUGACAUUGGCUACAGACAUUUUGAUACUGCUGCUCUUUAUGGUACUGAAGAACCUCUAGGCCAAGCUGUGUCAAAGGCUUUAGAGCUAGGCCUCGUUAAAAAUCGCGAUGAACUCUUCAUUACUUCCAAGUUAUGGUGUACUGAUGCUCAACAUGACCUUGUUCUCCCAGCUCUCAAAACCACCCUCAAGCAAGCAUAAUUUUCUUAACCUUUUUUCUACUUCUUUCUAGUUUGUGCAUUUUAUUACUUGCCUAAUAUUAUUGUUUUGGUUUUUUUGGAUUGAAAUUUUUAGAAAUCUGGGAUUGGAGUAUGUUGAUCUCUAUUUGAUUCACUGGCCAGUAAGGUUGAAACAAGAUGCUGAAAGCUUAAAAUUUAAAAAGGAGGAUAUGAUUCCCUUUGAUAUAAAAGGAACAUGGGAAGCUAUGGAAGAAUGUUAUAGAUUGGGCCUAGCAAAGUCUAUUGGUGUCAGUAACUUUGGUGUCAAAAAGCUCUCCAUACUCUUAGAAAAUGCCGAAAUCGCUCCUGCAGUUAAUCAGGUAAAAGAAUUUAGCACUAGUUGAUUUGAUUCAUUUUGACAUAUAGAUCAAAUACACUUAAUUGGUUGCCUAAGUCACUUCAAAAUCGAAAAGCAUCAGACAUGUAUAAACGUAUCCGAUACUGAUACAUGUCAGACACUUCCCUAUAUGAAAAGUAUCCAAUAAUUUAUUCUCAUUCUUUCUAGAAAUAUUUCCACUGAAACUUCUCGAAUACAUUUUCAUUACUUUCGUACCGACUAAGCACACAAUUGUCAUCUAUAUAUGAUACAUCUUACUAAUCAUAGAGACACAGUGUUAUAUGUUUUUGUUACAAAUUUUUGUUUGGAUUUAGGUGGAGAUGAACCCAUCAUGGCAACAGGGGAAACUAAGAGAAUUCUGCAAGCAGAAAGGAAUCCAUGUGAGUGCAUGGUCACCACUAGGAGGAUACAAACUAAGUUGGGGUUCGCCUACAGUGAUGGAGAAUCCAAUUCUGCACGAAAUUGCAGAGGCUAGAAAGAAGAGUGUAGCCCAGGUGCAGCUCAUUAUUUUAUUUCCUAUGUUUAGCCAAUUAAAAUUUUAAUAAGGUUUUUAAAAUAUACAUCCCUUAUUUGUUUUAAAAUUCAGCUUCUUUUUUUAAAUGGUCAAACUUUAGUCUUGGUCAUAGAAGUCCUAAUAUAAUAUCACAUCAUGAACCAGCUCUUCAAAACCUUAGAUUGUUAGGUGAGAAUAAAUAAAUGGUUCUAUAUUUGAUAUCUUUUAACAGUUGAAACUUAUCAAAGUCAUAUACAUAUACUACUACUACUACUAUAUUGAGAUGACUGUUACACUGAAAGAAAGUCUAUUUCUAAUAUUGACAUAUAUUAUGCAGAUAGCACUAAGAUGGAUAUACCAGCAAGGGGCAAUUCCCAUUGUGAAAAGCUUCAACAAGGAAAGGAUGAAACAAAACAUUGAAAUAUUUGAUUGGGAAUUGAACCAAGAAGAAUUAGACAAAAUCAGUCAGAUUCAUCAAAGCAGAUUUCAAAAGGCAGAAAUAUUUGUAUCUGAUAAUGGACCUUACAAAACCUUGGAAGAGCUGUGGGAUGGUGAUGUUUGAGCAAACUCUUGUUUGAAUAAAUGAUGGGAUCAUGGAAAGUGUAUGAGCUGCUGAAUAGUUAUAAGUAGUAAAAUAAUGCAAAAAGGGUUUUGCUCAAGAGAUUAAAGACAUCACAAAUAAGAUUUAAAUUGUACUCAAAUCCAAGUUCCUUAUGUAAGUGACCUUAAAUAAGAGAAAACACUAAGAAGGGUAAUCUAAAAACAUGGAUCUAAUGACUAUUCCUGGACUAGAGAAUCACAUGGCAUGCUAUCUCAAAUAACUGAUACAUUAUACUUCCUUUCAAUGUAUAAAUCAUGCUAAGGGUUAUCAAUCCCUACAAAGCAUGAAGUAUGAAAUCAUUACUUACAAUUUAAUCUUUAAAUUAAUCACGCGUAGAAGUUUAUUCUGUGUAUAAAUUCUUAUUGAUUAAUUCUACUUUAUCUCUCUUUAGCUCUUGUGAAGUACAGUAAUUUGAUCUAAAUUCUGUAAACUCGAAAAUUAACUCGUGCAUAUACUGAAAUUUAAAGACUAAACUUAAACCAGAAGUCAGUAGAUAUUGCCUUUCUUUGGCAGAAAACAACGUGGAUCCUACUCCACUAGUUCAACGGUCAAUUUCCUUCCAACAAAAUCAAAGCAACAGAGUUCUUUUAAUAAAUAUAUACUGAGUCCUAAGAUUGCGAUUGCGUAAAGGUUACUUAACAAUCCAACAAAUCUAUUACUGAUCCAAAACCAGUAGAGACUCCCAGAUGGUUUUGAAAUAAAACAUAUUUUCGUCGUUCAUAGUAAAGUAAAAUUUGUUUUUUUCGUGAAUUAUGGAAUAGGAAAAAAACUAAGCAUAUGCAAGUCAAAUAAGUCUCUUCGUAUUAUAUUUCUGCGUAUAAGUUUAAUUUGCAAUACAAAUUAACUGAAAAGUUUCCUAAGCAAGUCAUAAUCUCUCUGUUUAUAAUAACCUGACUCGGUUGUUUUUCUAUUUUUUUUCUUCAUUUAAAUAAGGUAGACUAAGUAAGUGCCUGCUGUACAAUUUUUCCUCAAAUAAUCUAUUUCAGUUCCUUCUUCUGAAGAUGUUAGCACAGAUUCAAACGAGAAGUAAUAUUUAAGAAAACGUCUUCUCUGCAAGGAAUUGUGAGACCACCGGUUGGAUGGUCAUAUCCAAAUUGUUCCUCGGCUUGAUUCAACAAUUCUUGAAAUGACGGUUGGUUCAAGUAUGAUAUUGGGAUCACAAACCUCUUCAUUUCAUCCCCAACAUAUACUGCAAUAUAUCCCUUUGGCACAUUCGUGCAUUUUGAAGAUGCUUGGUUUGAAGCCCUUUUUGAGACAACAGGUAAUCGGAAACCCAUUCUUGUAUAUAUGUGUUUUUAAAAGAAGAUAUUGAGCUAAGAGUGAAAGACUUGUGUAUAAGAAGAUUGUUUCUGAAUAUCAAAUAUUUUGGGUUGUGAAUGAUAUUGUGUUGGUUAUAAAAGCUUGCAGCCAUGAAUAUAUAUAUAUAUAGAUGAGUGAAAGGAUAUGGACCAAGCAGUCGGCAACUUGAAUGAUCAGUGAAGGAGGACCAUGAGAUUUGAGUCAUUGGGAGCCAUAGAACCUAAGGUAGACAAGGACAUAUAAUAGUUCACAUGGUGUUACCUUUGAAGAUUAUCUAAAGGGUCAACAUCAAAUGUCAAAAUAGUAGAUCAUGCAUGUCCCACCUCCUUAAGUAGAGGACAUCGUAUAUAUAAUUUUUGUUGUUGUUCAUAAAAAACAAUAUAUAUAUAAUUAAUCCACUUGAAAUAAAACGCAUGAUCACAAACAUGUAGUAUGGUGUAUGUAUGAUCUCUAGAUGUUGAGAAGAUAAAUGACCUACCAGCUGGACAUCAACAUUAUCAAGAUGAAGAAACAUGUAUAAUGCAUGUUUACAAAAUUAUGAAAACCAAUAAUUUGGAUGUAUUUAGAAAACCAAUUUCAAUACUUUUCUGUAACAUCGAAAAUUCCAGAGUUCGAUCCAUUUAUCUGUUUAAUGCUUUUUUUGACUAAACCAAACCAAUUUCAAUAGUUUAUAUAUAAUAAUAAGUCGAGCCUGUCAAGGUGAAAAAGUAAAAAUUUAAUUUUGAUGGUCGUUUGAUUCUUUUGAAGUCUGUCAUAUACAUCCUCUAUUAUUUUAUAAUGUUUUUUUUUUGGUGGGUCGAGGAUUUUAGAAAAAUUCUUUGGGUCAGUUGGGACUCUAUUUGUUUGGGCAAGGAGGUCAGUGGUUUGGGGGUUAGGAGAAGGCGGGAGUUUAACCUUGUUUUAUUAGGCAAAUGGUGUUAGAGGAUGUGUGUGGAAAGAGGGAGUUUGUGGUAUAAAAUUUUAGUGGUUAGGUAUACUGUGAGGUAGGGGGCGGUUGAAGGAAGGCAUGAGGGAAGUGACAGUGUGGGAGAUUUUCUUAAAUAACCCACACCCAUUUUAAUUUUCCAAACACAUAAAUCUCCCAUCAUUUUAUUCAUUUCAAUGACUUUAUAAAUAUACAAUUUAAUUUCAGUCAUUUUGGUUUGUUUGCAUCUGUUUUCUCUUUUUACAAUUAAGUUAAAUGAAGUUUUUUUCUCUCGCAAUAAACAAACAGUAACAACAUUUGGUUUUAACUACUAAAUAGAAUCAAACAUCGGCAAUUACAGAAGAGAUUAAAAGAGAAUAUAGAAAUGAGAAUUUUUUUUGUUGAUGGACAUUGUGGUUAAUCAAUGAAAAAGAAAUAAUAUUCGAUAUAUCCGUUUUAUUACUUUAGAGUUUAAAAAUUAAACCACCUUGACUAAGGAACAAUAAGUUGGGAAAAUUCACCAAAGUGAAAAAUAGAAAGAAAAAAAGGUCAAAAACUAAGUGAGUUCAUACUCGUAUGAAGAAGUUAAUUGCUCAAAAAAAAUGGAAUUAAUAAAGUUUAAACUGUGUUAUAUUAUAUGGGAGGUGCUUGUCAAUUUGAUAAAAAAAAAAAAGAGAGAUUAGUGUUUAGUUAAAAAAUAGAACGGGUGUUUGUGUUAUUUAAGAAAACCUUACGGGAGGUUAGUGUAAUUUGCCCAUAAUUUUUUUAAGAGUAAUUUGCCCAUGAUAAAAUCAUUGAAAUAAUUGUUAUUAAAUAAUAAAGAUUUCUUUAUUGAUAAAGAUGUCGUUAGAAGCCUCGUAUAUGAAUUGUACAAACUAUAUUAUUUAGUGAUUCAUUUAUCAUUUUUUUUAGUGUUUUUUAUAGUCAAGAUAUAAUAAUUAAUAAUCUACAACAAUAAAAAAUAUUAUUUUAUAAUAUGACAUGGUGGCCUGAGGAUUCAAGGUGCUUGUUUGCCUACACCUGUUUCUUCAACUCGAAAGAGCUUUUAUGCUUGCGGAUUUGUUCAGGGAGUUUUUGGCACUUGGAUUUUGAUAUCGUGUUGACAGUUGAUCCAUUUAUUGUUCUUCACAGAUGUUCAUUUUUAAUUUUUUUUUCAAAUAUGGCUUCGCGCCUGUAUACGGAUUCACCGGUUUGCGUCUGUGAUUAGUGAACUUUUUUAAAAUAGAUUAGGAUCGAUACAUUUGAUCUGAUUUAUUAUGUUGUAUCACCGUUUUGGGUUGCACCUGAUUCAGGACUAAUACCCCUAGCAUCUUUAUCUAUUUAUUUUUUUAUUUAAUAUAAUUUUCCUUUUGAAAAAAAAAUAAAAUAAAGAAAAAACAAAGGAAAAUUAUUUUUAAAAAAGAAGCAAUCUUGAAAACGUGUAAUUUUUUUGAAAAGUAGGCAUAUGCCUUCUAAUGAAUAUUUUGUAACUUUCUUGAAGUUAUGUUUCAUUUUUUUUUUUUUUUUUUUUUUUUUUUUUAAGAAUGAAGUUAUGUUAUUUUGUGAUUACCAAUCAUAUAUAAUUGAACAUUUUUUUCUUCUUUAUUUUGUUAGUGAAAAUAUUUUUUCAGUGUCUUGUUAGUAUCAACGAUAAUUGUCUCAACCGUAUUUUUUUAUUUUACUGAUAAGUGAAACAUAUUUAUUAAAAUUUAUAUUUAUAAAUAUUUUUUUAGAUUAAAUAUGUAAAUAAUUGUCAUUUUUUUAUUGAAUUACCUACAAAAGAAAAACUCAUACGAAAGUAGUUCUUUUUUUUGGUCAAGUAGUCUAGUGACUAGCUAGAGCUCACACAAUUAAAUUGUGGAGAAGUAGAAUGUUCGGGGUUCGAACCCUGACCUCUGCAUAUAAUAUUCAAUAUCCCUACAAAUUGCAAAGAGAAAAUAUAAUAGGAAGAUUGUUAUAUUGCAUUUCAGUAUCGUAAAAGAGAAAAUAUAAUAUGAAGAUUGUUAUAUUGCAUUUCAGUGUGAGAUAAAAGCAUAUGAACAUCAUAAAACUUUUUUUUUGGUACAAUCUUAAAACUUAUUUUUAACAAAUGUAAAUUGAAUAUAUGGUCCCCUUUUAAUAAGUAUCAUAAAACUUAUAUUGAUAUUCAAUCAUUUAGAGGUUAUUUUUAGAGCUUUUUUAAAAAACAUGAUCAAUUAUCACUACAAGAAAAAAAACAAGAUUUGCUACCCAAAACUUGCUAUAAAAUGUUUUUUUUUUUUUUGGUACUGAGCUAUAAAAUGUACUUUUUUUUUUGGUAGUGAGCUAUAAAAUGAAUUGGUAGUUAAUUUAGGAGAAAACUUAGGUACAAUUUCUUAUGUGCUUUUUGUAUAGUUCUUAACUAAAAAUACAUUUUUUUUGGAUAUAACAAACUUUGAGAAAAUUAUGAAUUUGAGGAAAUUAUGGUAAAUUUAGUUAAGAACCAUACGAAAAGCACCUAAGGAAUUGUACUUAAGUUUUCUCCAUAUUAAAUCUCUUAGCUACCAUUUGACCUUGACCAUUUAAUUUUUAUUAUUUUUUAUAAAUAUAUAUAUAUAUAUAUAUAUAUCAAUAACAAUCACUUCUUUGAAAAAGAUAUUUGUCUGAAUACAACUAUAUAAAACAUAUUUCUUUUACAAAUUUAUCUUCAUUUUUUUAUACUUAUUUUCUCCCUCUCUUAUAUUUUUUGAAAAGUUACUAUAACCUCUUUUCAUUUAAAGACUCUUUUAGACUUUUUUAACCUGGUUUUAAAAAAAAUUAUAAUAAACAAGCACAAUGCUCUUUAAUUUUUUUUUUUAAGUUAUAGCAAACCCUUUGGGGCUUGUUUGUUACGAAUUAAAAUGAAAAUAUUAUUGAAAUUCAUAAUUUAGUGAUUUUUAAAAUUUUUAUAAAAAAAAUCAUAAUCUAUUUUGUGUUUGCUUAUUGUAAUAAAAUCAUUUUUUUAAAUAAUUUAAUUUAUUUAGAUAUAUCAAUAUAAAAGGAACUUUUUUGUUACAAAAUCACAUCAAUCUUUUAAAAGUUAUUUUCUCUCUCGACUAAAUAGGAUAUUUUGUUACAAAAGACACAGAAAGGUUAACAUAUGUCGAGAUAUCAAAAAAUUAAGAUGGGGCAAAAGUGUGUUUUUACUGAUUAUUAACUUUGAUAAUUAGAGAAAGAUAAUAGAUUAGUGUGUUUUAAGUUGAAUUAUAGGAAAACUUGUUUUAAUUGGGAUAAGAUUAAGUUUGUUUGUUGUUAAAAAAAAGAUUAGGUUUGUUUGUUCUUUAAAAUAAGAUUAAGUUAGUGUGUUUGAUUGAGUGAGUUUGUUUUAGUUUGUUUUUAAGAGAGAAAAUAGAAGGUGGUUGAAGUGAAAGACAUAAAAGAAUAUAAUUUUGAAGACAUGUCAAAAAAUUAAGAAGAGAUAAAAUUGUAUUUUUUAUGAUCAUUAAAUUUCAUAAGUCGAGAAUAGAUGACACCUACAUGAAGCAACAGCCUAGAAAAAUCCUAACUAUCAACUUCCUUUAACCGUUAUUCGUUAUCAAAGCUUACUUCCCUCCUAAGUAAACGCUAGCGCCUACUAAAUUAAAUCUCAAUCUAGUUAUCCACUUAUUAUAAUCCCCUUUUUUUCAGUAAUCGUAACCACUAUAUAAAGACUCACUCAGCACCCAACUUAACAUAUCAUAACAUACCAUACUACCAUCAAGUUCAAGUCAGAAGAAGAAGUCAUGAAUCAUCGUAACCAAACUUUCAUGCUGUUCUCUGUCCUUUUCCUGUUCUUCUCUGUCGACUUGGCAUUCUCGAUGCCGAAGGAUAGAGAAGAUCCAAUAAUCCAGCAGGUGGUCGAUAAGGGAGGAGCUGAGUAUCAAUUUAAUGAAUUCAAGCAAAGGUUUGGUAAGGUUUAUUCCUCCAAAGAUGAACAUGAUUAUAGGUUCAACGUCUUCAAGUCUAACCUUCACCGUGCUAAGAGACAUGGGAUAAUGGAUCCUUCAGCAACUCAUGGUGUUACAAGAUUCUCCGAUCUUACUCCGAGGGAGUUUCGUAAUAGCAUCUUGGGAUUAAAAGGAGUAGGGUUACCGAGACAUGCAAAAGCUGCACCUAUUCUUUCGACCGAGAACCUUCCUCGUGAUUUUGAUUGGAGAGAAAAAGGAGCGGUUACCCCGGUUAGGAAUCAGGUAUAUAUUGUUUCUAAUUAUGAUUAUUAUUGUUGCUGUAAUUUGUUUAUUGUUUUGUUUAAUAUUUUUAUUUUGGAUUUGUAACUAUGAAUUAGGGUUUCUGCGGUUCAAGUUGGAGUUUCAGUACGAUUGGUGCACUCGAAGGUGCUCACUUCCUCUCUAGCGGAGAACUUGUGAGUCUUAGCGAGCAACAUCAUGUUGACUGUGAUCACGAGUACAUUCAAAAAUAUGGUGGGCUGAUGCGAGUGGAGGACUAUACUUAUUAUAAGACAAACACUGCACGAUCGGUGGCGGCAAAUUUCAGUUCUAUUUCGGUUGAUGACAACCAAAUCACCGCCAAUCUCGUUAAACAUGGACCUCUUGCUGGUCAGUAAUACUCUAAACAAUUUGAAUUGUAAUUAUUAUUACUAUUAUUUUCUUAUAAUUGUCUAAUUCAAAUGUUCACAAAUGCAGCUGCAAUAAACGCGGUAUACAUGCAGACAUACGUGGGAGGAAUAUCAUGCCCAUACAUAUGUACAAGGAGGCUGGAUCUUGGAGUUUUGCUUGUGGGGUAUGGUUCUGGAGCUGGAGCUGAUAUGAAGGAGAAGGAGAAGCCGUAUUGGAUCGUUAAAAACUCGUGGGGUGAGACCUGGGGAGAGAACGGAUACUACAAGAUUUGCAGAGGACGAAAUAUCUGUGGAGUGGACUCAAUGGUUUCUACUGUGGCUGCUGCUCACACUACUACUCAGUGACAGUAGUAUGAUUUCUAUCUCAUACAUGUACCAACCUUCAUUUCAUUUCAAGACUUGUUGAAUAUGAUCAUCCAAUGGUUGGCCUUCCUAUUCCUUGCACCGAAGAUGUCUUCCAGCACAUAAUGUCUCGCUUGUAAAGCUCACACUAUUGUUGGAGACUGGCAUAGUUUACUGUUAGUAGAUCCAUUUUGAACAUGAGACAUCUUAUCAAAUUGUAAAGACCCUACAGAGAUAGGAAAUGUAAUUAUCAUAAAAAUGAUAGAUUUUGACUAUGCAUUUUUCGUUUGAUGAAUAAUGACAAUGAAUUCGACUUUUCAAGUAGCUCCUAUGUUUUUUGUUUGUUUUAUGUUAAAAUUUUCACUCUUCCUUGCAGUCAGACCUUCCAAAAUAUAAGCAGGACUGCUUGGUAUCAGAAAAAACCGACUUGGUGUUCUGAUAAAUUUCAAAGCACGAACAGUACACAUGAAAGGGCAGAACCGUUGUAUUUUUGUAUGGCUCAAACAUGAAAGUUAAAUUUCAGGAAAAAAAUUAUUUUAAUAACUAUAUAAUAUAGAUAAGAAAUUUAAGAUUUGGAGUGCCAAAGUCCCAAUCAUAGUUCCCUUCAUAGGCAAGUGCACAAUAACAAUGACUUAGAAUUGAGGUUAGUUAAUCCCUUGAAUAACACAUUCUCAGUCUACAGCAAAAACUUGUUUUGCUACCUUUGAUGCAUGGUUUAUCUGUAGUCCAUGACUGUAUCUUUUCUACUCUCUAAGUUUUGUUUACUGAAAUUUUAGAUAUACCUCUAAAUUUCCAAAAUUUAUUGAUCAGUUUGUACUUAUCAGAUUUUGAUGCUAGUUGUGGUUAAGUUUAAUUGAAGUUUCUCUACAAUUUCAAAUUUUAUCAUUCUAUUUUUUAAUUAAUUCCAGUGGCUAAAAUAGAAAAUAAAUAAAAAAAUUCUAAUCUAACAAGUACUUCAAGAAACCAAAUUCACUUUACAAUGGACUUGUUUGAUACCAAAUUCAGGUUGUUUAUUUGGCACAACUAUGGGACCAACAUGUCUACCAAUUUCCAAUUUCCAAAUUCAGUUUGUGUUAUUAUCUUAUCUCAAAUUCAUUAUUUUGUAGCUAUAUGGUAGAUUUCAUGGGUCAUAUAUUUUGUAACUCUAGGAUCAACAUGUCUAUCAAAUUUGAGGAACCUAUCUGAUAGAAUAUUGUCAGAAAAUUUUGGCAUUCUCUUAUCUCGAAUUCUCUAUUUACUAGUUAUCAUGUAGACAUAGAAUAUUUUCAGAAAUUGUGGACUUCCCUUAUCUCAAAAUCCAUUGUUUAGUAGCUAUAUGGUCGAUUUCAUGGUUCAUAUAUCAGAGCCUAAUUUGAGGAAUCUAUGUGAUAUGUCUUGAACUUGUCAUGUUGCAAGAAUACAAUUAUUGGCUUAUUGGCUGUAAAGUCUCCUAUAUCUUUCUAUAUAUACUCAUCAUUACAUUCUCAAGCAGCAUUACAAGUCACAAAUACAAUUUCAAAAGUUUCUUGCUUUCAUACACAAGCUGUUGUAUUCAUCGUUAUUGUGUUGCAACUCUUAAUAACAAUAUGGGAUUCCGUUUACCUGGUAUUAAAAUGUCAUCGUCUUCCAAGGCUGUGGAUGAAGUUUCAAACUGAAGCUGUUUGUGAUUUCCAUUUUAUUAUUGAACCAACCUUCAUUUCAAGAAUAAUAAUUAAGCCAAUUAGCAGAAGAAUUCUAAGAGCUCACAUCUCGCUUCAAUGUUAAAUCUCACAAACUCUAACGAAGACUUACAUAGAUAUUAGUUAGCUAAGACUAAUUGUACAUCAGAUAUCUUCAUUUUUCAUUCUUUUCUUAAUGGAAAUGACAGCUAACUGAGAUAGUUAUGAACAGAGAUUUUUGACUUGUCGGUCAAAUUUCAAAGAACUCUGUAUACAUCUUAUUUUUGCACAAAAGAUUAUAUAUAGAAACAGAACCCUUUUUACAAAUUCUCUCUUGGUUUUCUUUGUUUUAUUACUGCUUAUUAUAUCUGCUUUUCUGUGUGUAUAUAAACACCAAUUUUCAUUGGUCUUUGAAACUAGCUCAAAAGUUUAUUAUAAAGUUCGAGCCAACACAAAUGUAUCCUAUGUGGUGAAGUUUUCACCCAAAACCCCUAGUUUCAGACCCAAAAGCCCUAGCUAUCCAUUUCACCUGAAAUCCCUUCGUCUAUUAACCAUUCCUUGAAAGAAAGGCACCUGUUUGUUUGCGGUUUGAAAAAGGUAUGAAUGAGAUGCACGCUUGUAAUUUGUACCAUCUAUUGUCUGUGCUAGUCAGAGGAUGAUAUAAAGGCUCGGCGAGACUGAAAAGAGGAAGAUCUAUCAAUUAUGUCAAGGGACAACUCUUCAGUCUAGUUGAUUAUAAGAAUAAAUUACUCUUAUACAUUGAGUAGUUGAUAAAAAUGUUUUUUUGUCUUGUUCAUCCAUUAGAAUAUUUCUGCCAAUAACAACAAACAAUGUUGCUUGCUAUAUUAAUUCAUGACUCAAUCAAACCCCUUCUAUAAACAAAACAAACAUUCACUAUCUUGCUUUGUCAUAGAGGACACACACUCAAUAAUCAAUAUUAAAAUAAUAAUAAUACUAACAACAUCUUCUUUGCGUUUUGAACUAUUAUUUAUAGUCACAUUGUGAAUUGUACGAAGCUUAAGCCUUGAACCAACACAAAAAAGAAGAUGGAAAUAAACAAAGUUCCAGAGGUGAUACUAAAUUCAGGGAAAAAUAUGCCAAUGAUAGGUUUAGGGACAUCAACAAGUCCCUCUCCACCACAUGAAGUCCUCACCUCAAUUUUGGUUGAUGCCAUUAAAAUAGGCUACAGGCAUUUUGAUACUGCUUCUAUCUAUAAUACUGAAGAACCUCUAGGCCAAGCUGUGUCAAAAGCUUUAGAGCUAGGCCUCGUUAAAAAUCGCGAUGAACUGUUCGUUACUUCCAAGUUAUGGUGUACUGAUGCUCACCAUGACCUUGUUCUCCCAGCUCUCAAAUCCACUCUCAAGCAAGCAUAAUUCUCUUAACCUUUUUUUCUUCUUCUUUUAAGUUUGUGUAUUUUAUUUGUCUAAUAUUGUUGUUUUGGUUUUUUGGAUUGAAAUUUUUUAGAAAUCUGGGAUUGGGGUAUGUGGAUCUCUAUUUGAUUCACUGGCCAGUAAGGUUGAAACAAGACGUUGAAGGCCAUAACUUUAAAGGUGAGGAUACAAUUCCUUUUGACAUAAAAGGAACAUGGGAAUCUAUGGAAGAUUGUUAUAGAUUGGGCAUAGCAAAGUCUAUUGGUGUCAGCAACUUUGGUAUCAAAAAGCUCUCCAUGCUCUUAGAAAAUGCCGAAAUUGCUCCUGCAGUUAACCAGGUAUAUGAAUUUAGUACUACUUGAUUUGAUUCAUUAUGCCUCAGUUGCUUCAAAAUGGAAGAGCAUCAUACACGUAUCGUCAGAUAUUUCCCAAAACUUAUAGUAUCCAAUAAUUUAUUGUAAUUCUUUCGCAAAAUAUUUCCUUCGAUACUUUUUUACCAACUAAGCACGCAAUUGUCAUCUAGAUAUGAUAUAUCUUACUACUUAUAGACACAACGAGCAUCAUACAAAUUCAUAUUUGGAUUUAGGUGGAAAUGAACUCAUCAUGGCAUCAGGGGAAACUUAGAGAAUUCUGCAAGCAGAAAGGAAUCCAUGUGAGUGCAUGGUCACCACUAGGAGGCUACAAACUAAGUUGGGGUUCGCCUGCAGUGAUGGAGAAUUUGAUUCUGCGCAAAAUUGCUGAGGCUAGAAAGAAGAGUGUAGCCCAGGUGCAGUUGAUUAUUUUAUUUCAAAUUAUUUUUAAUGAUAACUAUGACCUAUGUUAAUUCAAUUUAGAUUUUAAUGAAGUUUUAAAAUAUGCAGCCCUGUUUUAUAAUUCAAGUUUUUUUUUUCAAUGGUCAAACUUUAGACUUAGUCAUAGAAGUGCUAAUGCCACAUCAUGAACCUUAGAUUGUUAUGUGAAACAAAUAAAUAGUUUUAUAUUGAAACUUCAUAAAGUCAUACAUAUACCACUGUAUUGAGAUUACUGUUACAUUGAUAGUCUUUCUCUAAUAUUGACAAAUAUUAUACAGAUAGCACUAAGAUGGAUAUACCAGCAAGGGGUAAUUCCCAUUGUGAAGAGCUUCAACAAGGAGAGGAUGAAACAAAACAUUGAAAUAUUUGAUUGGGAAUUGAACCAAGAAGAAUUAGACAAAAUUAAUCAGAUUCCUCAAUGCAGACUGCUAAAGGCAGAAAUGUUUGUAUCUGAUAAUGGACCUUACAAGUCAUUGGAAGAGCUGUGGGAUGGCGACCCUUAAGCGAAUUCUUGUUUAAAUAUUCGAUGGGAUCAAUGCAAGUGUAUGUACUGAAUAAAUUAUUGUUUAAAUUCCUUAUGCAAGUGAAAUUUUAACUUUGAUUAAUAUCGUUAAUUCCUUAGUAUCGUUAAUUCCUUAGCUGACAUUAAAUAAGAGAAAACACUAAGAAGGAUUUAGUUACUAUUCAUGAACUAGAGAAUCAAUGGUAUGCUAGUUUAUUCUUUUCAUGUGUAUCUUUAGCUGAUUAAGCUUUUACGUCGAUUGGAUAAAUGACUUAAGAAUUUUUUAUGGAGUGGUGAUAUUUCCAGAAGGAAAAUUCUGUCCUGUUUCUUUUGCAGACCCUCGGCUUACCAUGGGAGGUGGGUGGCCUUGACCUGCGUUCUUCCACUACGUGAAAUAAGGGAUUUAGCCUCAGUCAUUUGGGAUCAGUCGCACCUGACUAACGUCAAGCAACAAAUUAUGCGCUAUUUCCCAUCACUCAAAUGUAGAAUAGCGCCUACAACAAAUACGUGGUAUGUAUUAGCCAAAAAAUUGGUUCGAGCCAACACAAAUGUAUCCUAUGUGGUGAAGUUUUCACCCAAAACCCCUAGUUUCAGACCCAAAAGCCCUAGCUAUCCAUUUCACCUGAAAUCCCUUCGUUUAUUAACCGUUCCUUCAAAGAAAGGUACCCCUAGUUCAACACAAAUGUAUGAAUGAGAUGCAUGCUUGUAAUCUGUGCCAUCUAUUGCCUGUGCUAGCUAGAGGAUGAGAUAAAGGCUCGCUGAGACUGAUAAGAGGAAGAUCUCAUCAUAAGUGUAGUUGUUCACAGAUAACAGUUAUGUCAAGGGACAACUUUUCAGUCUAAUUGGUUAUAAGAAUAAAUUAGUCUUAUACAUUGAGUAGUUGAUAAAAGUUUUUUUUGUCUUGUUCAACCAUUAGAACAUUUCUGCCAAUAGCCAACAAAAAAUGUUGCUUGCUAUAUUAGUUCAUCACUCAAUCAAACCCCUUGUAUAAACAAAACAAACAUUCACUAACUUGAUUUUUCAUAGGGGACAAAUACUCAAUAAUCAAUCUUAAAAUAAUAAUAAUAACAACAACAACACCAACAACGUCUUCUUUGCGUCUUGAACUUGUAAUAUAAUGGAAUUGCUUGCCUUUUCAUUAUGUGAAUAGAAUAUCUGUAUACAUGUGCAGGUCAACUAUCUAAUUAUGAUACAGCAUAAUUACAGGAAAAUAAUUAUAACUAAUUAUGACUAAUAUUCUAUUCUAUCAGAACUAUCAUCAAUAAAUUGUAUGAAGCUUAAGCCUUGAAAUCAACAAAAAUAAAAAAAGAUGGAAGCAAAGAAAGUUCCAGAGGUGAUACUAAAUUCAGGGAAAAAGAUGCCAAUGAUAGGUUUUGGAACAUCAGAAAAUCCCUCUCCACCACAUGAAGUCCUCACCUCAAUUUUGGUUGAUGCCAUUGAAAUAGGCUACAGGCAUUUUGAUACUGCUUCUGUCUAUAAUACUGAAGAACCUCUAGGCCAAGCUGUGUCAAAAGCUUUAGAGCUAGGCCUCGUUAAAAAUCGCGAUGAACUGUUCGUUACUUCCAAGUUAUGGUGUACUGAUGCUCACCAUGACCUUGUUCUCCCAUCUCUCAAAACUACCAUCAAGCAAGCAUAUUUCUCUUAACUUCUUUUUUUCCGCUUCUUUUACGUUUGUUAUUUUUAUUACUUGUCUACUUUUAUUUUUGGGUUGAAAUUGUACAGAAAACUGAAGUUGGACUAUGUGGAUCUCUAUUUGAUUCACUUUCCAGUGAGGUUGAAACAAGAUGUUGAAGGCUAUAACAUUAAAAGUGAGGAUAUAAUUCCUUUUGAUAUAAAAGGAACAUGGGAAGCUAUGGAAUAUUGUUAUAGAUUGGGCUUAGCAAAGUCUAUUGGUGUUAGCAACUUUGGUAUCAAAAAGCUCUCCAUGCUCUUCGAAAGUGCCAAAAUCUAUCCUGCAGUUAAUCAGGUAUGACUUAAGAGAAUUUAGUGCUAGUUGAUUUGAGGAAUUAUGACGUAGAGAUCAAAUGCACUUAUUGGUUGCGUCUGUUAUUUCAAAAUGGAAAUGCAUCAUACACGUAUCCGAUACUCAUUCACUUGUUAGUUGGAUUUAGGUGGAAAUGAACUCAUCAUGGCAUCAGGGGAAACUCAGAGAAUUCUGCAAGCAGAAAGGAAUUCAUGUGAGUGCAUGGUCACCACUAGGAGGAUACAAACUAAGUUUUGGUUCGCCUGCAGUGAUGGAGAAUUCAAUUCUGCGAGAAAUUGCUGAGGCUAGAAAGAAAAGUGUAGCCCAGGUGCAGCUCAUUAUUUUAUUUCAAACUAUUUUCAAUGACACCUAUGUUUAGCCAAUUAAAAUUUUAGUGAAGUUUUUAAAACUUACAGCCUGUUUUUCUAAUUCUUUUUUUUUCUUUCUCAAUGGUCAAACUUUAGACUUGGUCAUAGAAGUGGCUAAUACCACAUCUUGAACCAACUCUUUAUAUUAUAUCAAAAUGUCAAACUUCAUAAAGUCGUACCUAUACUACUGUUACAUUGAAAGUCUAUUUCUAAUGUGGAUAUAUAUUAUGCAGAUAGCACUAAGAUGGAUAUACCAGCAAGGGGCAAUUCCCAUUGUGAAAAGCUUCAACAAGGAAAGGAUGAAACUAAACACUGAAAUAUUUGAUUGGGAAUUGAACCAAGAAGAAUUCGACAAAAUCAAUCAGAUUCCGCAAUGCAGACUGCAAAAGGUAGAAAUGUUUGUAUCUGAUAGUGGACCUUACAAAACCUUGGAAGAGCUGUGGGACGGUGACGCUUGAGCAAAUUCUUGUUUAUAUAUUCGAUGUGAUCAUGGAAAGUUAAUGUACUGAAUAAAUUAUUGUUUAAAUUCCUUAUGCAAUUGAAAUUUAACUUUUAUAUAAUAUCUUUGAUUCCCUAGCUGACAUUAAAUAAGAGAAAACACUAAGAAGAAUACUUGGAUUUAUUUACUAUUCCUCGACUAGAGAAUCACAUAUUUGUAGUAAAGUAUAAAUUGUUUUUCAUGAAUUAUGGAACAAGAGAAAAAUUAAGCAUAUGCCAGACAAAUAUGUCUCUUUGUAUUAUAUUUCUGCAUAUAAGUUUGUAAUACAACUUAGUUGAAAAUUUUCGUAAAUAAGUCAUAAUCUCUUUGUUCAUAAUCAUCUCACUCAGUUGUUUUUCUAUUUAUCUUUCACUGUCAAAAGGUAGACUAAAAUGAAAAAUAUGUAAGUGCCUUCUGUACAAUUUUGCCUAAAAUAAUCUAUGUCAGUUCCUUCAUCUGAAGAUAUUAGCACAGAUUCAAACGAGAAGUAAUAUCUAAGAAAACGUCUUCUCUGCAAGGAAUUGUGAGACCACCCAUUGGAUGGUCAUAUCCGAAUUGUUCCUCGGCUUGAUUCAAUAAUUCUUGAAAUGAUGAUUGGCUCAAGUAUGAUAUUGGGAUCACAAACCUCUUCAUUUCCUCUCCAACGUAUACUGCAAGAUAUCCCUUUGGCACAUCCACGCCUUUUGAAGAUGUUUGGUUUGCAGCCCUUCUGAUGAUACCGGUUAAACGAAAACCCAUUCUUGUAUGUGUUAUGAAAAGAUAUUGGUCUAAAAAUGGUAGACUGGUGUAAAUGAAGAAUGUUUCUGAAUCUCAAAUUCUUUGAACUGUGAAUAAAUUUGAGUUGGUUCUUAAUGCUUGCAGUCAUUAAUAUAUAUAGAUGAAAGGAUAUGUAAUAAACAGUCAGCAACUUGAAUGAUCAAUGAAGGAGGACCAUGAGAUUGGGAGUCAAUGGGAGCCAUAGAACUUAAGGGAGACAAUGACAUAUAAUAGAUCACAUGGUGUUGUCUUAGAUGAUUUUCUCAAAUUUUCAACAUCAAAUGUCAUAAUAAUAAAUAAUGUAUGUCCCACCCACCACCUUAAGUAGAGGCCAGCAAUAUAUAAAAUUAAAUAAGUUGAUGUUUAAACUUGAGAAAGUCAUCUAAAUUUUGUAAGAUCACAUGGUAUUCUACAAUUUUAUAAUUUUCAAAAAUUCAUCAAUCAAGUUUAAUUUAUUAGUUUUCAGUGCAAGUUGUGCUGAAGGUCAAUGAAAGUUUCUCUACAAUUUUAAAUUGCGUAAUUAUAUCUGCAAAUUAGCUCAGUGGCCAAAAUUGAAAAGAAAAAUAAAAUAUAUCAAAUCUAAUCCAAAUAUUACCGAAGUGGUUGGCAACUGACUUAACUCUAGGUCCACCAUGUCUACAAAUUCCAAGAGCUGAUGUUCUGGUUGUUUAACGAUAGUUUGACGUAGCUAUGUGAUAUGUUUUGAGCUUGUCUGCUAGAAGAGUGGGAUUAUUAGCAUAUCGGUUGGCCUGAGUUUUCAAGUCUGAAGUAAAUCCUGGAUAUAAUUAGACAAUCAUGAAACAAUACCAUGUGACAUCUCAUUGGCCUUUCUCUCUUAUGAAAUAAUAGCCCAAAACACAACCACAGAAUCCAUCAAGGAAUUGUUUCCACAAAAACUUGUAGAUCUAUCUAUAUAUACUCAUUAUGACUAUCUCAAGCAGCAACACAAUUCAAGUUACUCACAAAUACAAAUUAAAAUAUUUCUUUCUUACAUACACAAGAUGUUAGUGUGUUGUAACUCAUAAUAACAAUGGGCUUUCGUUUACCUGGUAUCAUUAGACGGUCAUCAUCUUCCAAGGCUGUGGAUGAAGUCCCAAAAGGCUAUCUUGCGGUUUAUGUUGGAGAAAAAAUGAAGCGAUUUGUGAUUCCAACUUCAUUAUUGAAUCAACCUUCAUUUCAAGAGUCGUUAAGCCAAUCAGAAGAAGAGUUUGAAUAUGAUCAUCGAAUGGAUGGUCUCUCGAUUCCUUGCAGUGAAGAUGUUUUCUUAGAACACACUUCGUGCUUCAAUGUUAAAUCUCAUUAAAGGAGACUUACAUAGAUAUUAGUUAGUUAAGACAAAUUGUACAGCAUACACUUUCAUUUUUCAUUCGUUUCUAAGCUGAAAUGCCAUCCAACCGAGACAGUUAUGAACAGAGAUAUUUGAGUUUUUGGUCGAAUUUCAACGAAUUUCUGUAUACAUCUUAUUUUUGCACAAAAGAUUGUAUAUACUAACAGCAACCUUUUUACAUAUUCUGUUGUCCAAUAAACAUGUAAUUUAACAAUGGCAUAGGUCAAAAGAAAACAUAAUUCUCACCGAAGGAUUACUAUUUGCUAGUUCUUUUAUUGGAAGAAGUAGGAGAACAAUUGCGGUUGUAAAAUUGCAAAAUGAAAUCGAAGAGCCUUGUAAUCAUAAGUUCGUCAGCCUCGGGCAUGUCAAAACAACCAUAUGUUCUAGAGGUGUCCAUCAAGAAUCACAAGGUUUUAGAGUAGAUGACUGACUUGGAGAAAUGAAAGAGAUUUGUACAAAAAAAAAAAAAAACGUAAUUAUUGUUUAACCGAUUUAAUCCCUUGUUUCAUAUGUCCAACAUAUGCUCAAAGAGUUUCAUUUUUUUUUUUUUGUAUAAAUCUUUUUGAUCUAUCCGUAUAUGGGUUAGUCAUAAUAAGUUAUCAAUCACUAUGACAUACGGUUGCUAAAGAAAUUUCUUCAAUUUUUGAUAAAUGUUUGCACAUUAUUAGCAAUCUGCUUCAUUGAUCUAUUUCCUACCAUUUCCUAAUGUCUUUAACAAAUAGAAAAUCAAAGAAACAAAGUAAAGGAACUCUCUUAUUUAAAACUCUUCUUGUUCCAAAAUCAGAAUAGUCUUCCUGGUUUUGGAGUCAAACAUAAUUGCUUCUUUCAUAAUAAGGCUUUCACAAAAGGAAAAUACUUUGCAGUUUCACAGUAUCAAACAUAAUUCUACAUUAAACUUGUUUAUCCCAAACUCUAUUAAAGGUUAGUUUUGUUAGCGGAAACUCUGCCAAGGAAAAUAUGAAAGAUAGAUCUCUGUCCCUUUGUAUUAUAUUUUGAAAGGGUGGGGUACAAUCUAAGACAAACACUUCAUGAUAUCUCAUCCUAUGCUCUCUAUUAUUUUACCCUUUCAUACAGCCAUUUAGCUUUGAAUUGGGUUUAAAGGAAAACCAAAGAAAUCUCAUUUGCAGCCUAUUGCAGAUAAGAUAAAGUCUAAGCUUAGUGCGUGGAAAGCUUCUCUUCUCUCUAUUGCAGGGAGAGUGACUUUGGUUAAGUAUGUGAUUCAAGGAAUGAUGAUGCACACUAUAUAAUCUGUACUCUUGGCCUAAUUCAUUGCUGAAGGAAGUUGAAGCUUGGAUCAGGAACUUUAUUAAUUUGGAGUGGUGACAUAUCCAAAAGGAAGUUAGUGACUGUUUCUUGGCGUAAAGUUUGCAAGCCCUACUCUGAAGGAGGUUUGGGAUUGAGUACACUUUGAAUGAGCUGCAAACCUUAAGUUCUGUUGGGAUCUCAAAAAUUCAAAUGAAGACUGGGCCAUUCUUCUAAGAAGUAAGGUGUUUAGAGGAAGCAAAGUAAUUUCAAUGAAAAUUGCAGUGUUAAGUCAGAGAUUAUUAAUAUCAAUGAAAAGUGCAGCUGGAUCAUAGGUAAUGGGGAAAAUAUCAAUUUUUGGCUUGAUCCGUGGCUUGACAACCUGUUGCUUCUAUUCUUAACUUGCCAGGCAACAUUCAUAGUAGUUUAAUAGAUAGGGUUUCUGAUUUUUUACCGGCACUUCCCUCAACAUGUUUUGGACUCUUUCCCUAACCUGAAUCAACUUGUCAUGCAAGUAACUCUCCCUAGUGAGCCUAAGGAAGACAAAUUAGUUUGGAAAAGAUGCUAAACAGGAGAUCUUUCUCUUAAAGAGGCUUUUUCAUUCAAAUAUGGCACAGGACAAAAUAUUUCUUGGGCAAAAACGCUAUGGUGCCCUGAUAUCCCACCUUCAAAAUCUUUAUUGACAUGGAGACUCAUGCACAACAAACUUCCAACUGAUGAUAACCUAGUGCUCAGAGGGUGUAACCUUCCUUCAAUGUGCUUUUCUUGUCAGACUUCCUCAGAAACCACCUUUCAUUUGUUUUUUUGAAUGUCCAUUUGCUAUAAAAUUGUGGUCAUGGUUAGCUUCUCUCCUCAACAUGCCUCUUCAGUUCAACUUUUUGGGAGAAAUUUGGUCAAUCUUAGAUCAUAGUUGGACUCCUCAGUGCAAAGUAGUGGUUAAAGCUUGUAUCAUCAAUCUUUUAAUAAUCUGGUACAGAAGGAACAACGUUAGAUUCCAGGACAAGGUAGUUACUUGGAGAACAACUAUUACCUUGAUCAUCUCUAAGGUCUCUUUAUCAGGGAACUUCGCCUCAAAAACUGCUGCCUCCAACAUGUCUGAAUUCAUAAUUCUGAAGACUUGCAAAGUCACAAUCAAGCCUCCUAGGGAUUCCUUAAUCAAAGAAGUUAUUUGGGCUCCUCCUAUGCAUUCUUGGAUUAAGAUCAACAUGGUGCCUCAAUCAAGAACCCUACUAGAGCUGCAGCUGGAGGAAUAUUCAGAAACUCUGAUGGGGCUUGCUUAGGUGGCUUCUCUCAUUUUUUUGGUAAUGCAAAUGCUUUGUAUGCUGAACUGUUUGCAGCAAUGAAUGCUAUUGAAAUUGCUGCUUUGAUGGGAUUCUCUAAUGUUUGGUUAGAGUCUGAUUCUCAGUUGGUGAUCCUUGCCUUCAAGUCCAAAUCUGUUGUUCCUUGGGGUCUAAGGAACAAAUGGGAGAAAUGUAUUCAUAUUACUCAUAGAAUGAGAUUUUGUGCCACUCACAUUUAUAGGGUUGCGGAUUCCCUAGCCAACUUUGGUUUAACUUUAUCUACUUUAGAUUUGUUUUGGUUUGAUAGCAUCCCUGACUUUGUUAGGAGGGAAUACAAUAGGAAUAUGUUGGGUAUGCCCAACUUUAAAUAUGCCACCUUUUGAAAAGGUUCUGGUGUUGUCCUCCUUUUCUUUUUAAUGAAAUGAUAUGAUGCUCUUUGCAUCUUAAAAAAAAUUAAAAAAAAAUACAACAGUAUAGACUAAUCCAUCGAGCGGUGUAGGAAAUCAUUUAUAAAUAUGAUUAAAUUUAAAUGUUUUGUUAUUAAUUUUAUAACUUAGAAUAUAAAAUAUAUUUUUCUCUUAAAAAAAAAGAAUAUAAAAUAUAUUUUUAAAUAAUCAUAUUUUAUCGACAUUAGUAAUUUUUCACUCAUUUUAAUUUUAUAUUUUAUAAUUUAUGGUUAUAUAAAUCAGAUGAACUAGUUUUUUUUCUUCUUCUAUUUUUUAUUCACAUUCAUAUUUAUAUUUUAUAAUUUUUCUAUUUUUAAUUUUAUAACAUAGGUUCAACCUUUUUAUGAACCAGAUGAACUAUAGCGGACCUUCACAUGCAAUUACUCGAACCGUGGUUAGUUUAUUUUUUCAAUAUAAAUAUAGUAAAAAAAGGAGGAUAUAGAUAUGGUGAGAAUUUUUUUUGCAAAAAGAAAUGGUGAGUAUUAUUGUUGUAGGUAAAAGGAUGAAUUUAUAAUACAUUAUAAAAAUAAGGGCUAAUGGUGCUUUACCCCCUGUAAUAUAGAUCAUUUUUUAUUUUCUUCCCUGUAAAAUAUUAUUUUUGAUUUACCCCCCUGUAAUUUUUUUUUUUUUGGAAUACCCCCCUAAUAGGUCAUAAAAAAACGAAAAAAUUCUGCAAAAAAUAAAUAAAGUCGUUUUUUUAUGACCUAUUGGGGGGUAUUCCAAAAAAUAUAUAUUUUACAGGAGGUAAAUCAAAAUAAAUAUUUUACAGGGGGGAAAACCAAAAAUGACAUAUAUUACAGGGGGUAAAACACCAUUAACCCUAAAAAUAAAGUACUAUGAUAAAUAUACAACAGCAACCAAGCCUUAUCCCACUAAGUGGGGUCGGCUACAUGGAUCAAAUGACGCCAUAGUGUUCUAUCAAAAUCAUAUUUGGAUCCAACUCAUUGACCUCUAAAUCUUUUCCAAUGGUUUCUCGAAUGAUUUUCUUAGGUCUUCCUUUACCUCUUUUAACCUGAUUCUACUCCAUUUGAUCUACUCUUCUUACAACGGCAUCUACGGGUCUUCUCUCUACAUGUCAAAACCAUCUAAGCCUAUUUUCUACCAACUUUUCUACUAUAGGUGCUACCCCCACUCUCUCUAAUGGUGUCAUUAUUCUAUCAUGUCUAGUCUUACCACUCAUCCAGCGCAACAUCCUCAUCUCCGCUACACUUACUUUACUCUCGUGUUGGCUCUUAACUGCCCAACACUCCGUACCAUACAACAUUGUCGGUCUGACUGUUGUCUGAUAGAAUUUUCCUUUCAGCUUAAGUGGUACUUUCUUAUCGCACAAAACACUUGAGGCUCUUCUCCAUUUCAACCACCCAGCUUGAAUACGAUGAUUUACAUCUGCUUCUAUUUCUCCAUCAUUUUGCACUAUGGACCCAAGAUAUGUAAACUGUGUAACUUGGGGUAUGAUAUGAUCUCCAACUUUCACCUCCAAGGUAUACCCACUUCUCCUUUUGCUGAAGUUACAUUCCAAAUACUCCGUCUUGCUUCUACUCAAGCGGAAACCAUACGCUUCUAAGGCUUGCCUCGAGGUCUCUAGCCUCCCAUUUGACUCCUCCCUCGACUCACCAAGCAAGACUACAUCAUCGGCAAAAAGCAUACAUCUCGGUGUUAACUCUUGGAUGUGUUUCGUUAGUACAUCCAAAACUAAAGUAAAAAGAGAAGGACUUAGGGUUGACCCUUGGUGCAGUUCUAUUGUUAUGGGAAAAUCUACGCUAUCCCCAUCAUGCGUCUUCACACUAGUGGAAGCUCCCUCAUACAUAUCCCAGAUAGCUCUAAUAUAGGCAAUCCUCAUCCCUUUCUUCUCCAGGGUUUUCCACAAAAUCUCUCUAAGUACUCUAUCCUACGCCUUCUCCAAAUAAGUGAAAACUAAUUGCAAGUCUUUUUUAUCCGUCCGAUAUCGCUCCAUCAUGCGUCAAAGUAAGUAGUUCGCUUCCAUAGUCGACCUCCGAGGAAUAAAACCAAAUAAGUUAUCCGUAACAUGAGUCUCUUUUCUUAGUCUUCGCUCAAUUACCCUUUCCCAUAACUUCAUGGUAUGACUCAUUAGCUUAAUUCCCCUAUAAUUCGCGCAAUUAUGUAUAUCCCCUUUGUUCUUAUAAGGUGCUUCUUCUCCACUUGUCUGGAAUAUUCUUCGUCUUCAUAAUCUCGUUGAAUUUUUUUGUGAGCCACACAAUUCCUUAUAUCGCCAAGACUUUUCCACACUUCGAUAGGUAUGUUAUCCGGCCCAACUUCCUUGCCAUUACUCAUCCUUUUCAAUGCUUUUUUCACCUCGUGCUCUUGAAUUCGACGAUAAUAGUUAUAGUUUCGGCCCUCCGCUCUGAUGUCUAACCUGUUAGAGUCUGGUAAGAUCUCAUAUCCUUCAUUAAAUAAGUUAUGGAAAUACAUUUUCCAUCUAUCCUUAAUAUUUCUUUCUUGAACCAAAACUCUACCAUCUUCAUCUUUGAUACACUUCACUUGGUCCAGGUCUCUUGGCUUUCGUUCUCGUCCCUUCACAAGCUUGUAUAUAGAUUUCUCCCCCUCCUUGGUACCUAAAGAUUUGUAUAAUCCUCCAUAGGGUCUCGCUUCACUCACCGCCUUCUUAGCCUUUUUCCUAGCUAUCUUAUAUUAAUCCCAAGUUUCGGCAUUUUUACACUUAGACCAAUCUUUAAAUCAAUCUCUUUUAAUCCGAACUUUACUAUGAACACUGUUAUUCCACCACCAAGAUUCUUUAGCCCUAGGUCCAAAACCUCUAGAUUCUCCCAACGUCUCUUUUGCCACCUUCCUAAUCUCGUGAGCCAUCAUCUCCCACAUAUCAUUAGCGCUUCCAUGUGGUUGCCUGAAACCUCCCUCUAAUAUCUUGCAGAGCCCCGCUACGGCCAUUCUCUUUGCGCUCCUCUUAACCCUUACAUCCAUCACCAUUACUCUAUGUUGGGUAGUUAAGCCCUCUCCAGGUAUGACUUUACAGUCUAAUUAGAUCUUCCUGUCUGUUUUCCUAAUAAGAAAAAAUCGAUUUGAGAACAUGAGGGCCCACUCGUGUAAGUGAUGAGAUGCUCAUCUCUUUUCCUAAAACAUGUAUUAGCUAUAGUAAGAUCAAAAGCCGAUGAAAAAUCUAAGAUGGAAUUAUCCCCGGCAUUUAACUCCCCAAGACCAUACCCCCAAUGCACGCCCUCAAAACCUCUUGAAACACUCCCUACAUGCCCAUUUAAAUCACCUCAUAGAAAAAUCUUUUCUCCUAAUGGGAUAUCCUGAAUUAAGCCUUCUAGCUCCUCCCAAAACUUGACUUUAAGGUGUUCUUCUAACCCUACCUGAGGUGCAUAAGCGCUAAUUACGUUAAAGGUCUCUUGUUCCACUACAAACUUUAGGGAUAUAAUCCGAUCUCCUAUCCUUUUAACAUCCACAAUAUCUUUCUUCCACUCGUUAUCCACAAUGAUGCCUACCCCAUUUCUCGAUCUAACUUCGCCUGUGUAUCAAAGCUUAAAUCCUGAACUAUCUACUUCUUUCGCCUUUUUCCCCACCCACUUAGUUUCUUGUAGGCACAUAAAAUUAAUCCUCCUCCUGGUCAUAAUGUCUACUACUUCCAUAGAUUUACCCACAAGAGUACCUAUAUUACAUGUCCCAAAACGAAUCCUGCUCUCAUGAACUAGCUUCUUUACCCACACCCGUUCACGAAGAUGUGGAAACCCUUGCUUAUUUUUCACUACAUCCAGGCGGUGAUGCAGCGGCCCUUGCUCAUUUGACAUUGUACUCGAGCUAUACAGCGUGUUGCUUCUAGGCAACGACCUAACAUUCACACUAUUUUGUAUUUGGUCCAUGUCAUAGAGAUUCGGCAAAGUUUUACGUUGGCUGUCGAGGCAUAACAUAACCUUCCUUUUACUCGGGCUUGGGAUCGACCUUGGUAGGAUUAAAGUACUAUGAUAAAUAUCUUAAAACAUAAACAACUAAAUUAAUUUUGAAUAAAAGAUGAAUUUGAAGGAGCAAAAGAAUAUUUUAGCACAACUUUUUACUCAUUAUUAUGUUGUUAGGGAAUUAGAAAGUGUGCUAGCUAGUCUUUGAUGUGAUAUGAUUACUACCAUUAGUUGUGGAAUUACAAAAGUUUAGGGGAUGACUACCGACUUGUAUACUUCUAUUAUUGGUGCAUCAUUGUUUUUCAUAGAGGGCUAUAUUUUCUACAAAACACUAGUUAUCCCUUUGAACCUUGAAACACCUAUGAAUAUCCUUUGCCAGAAUUUGAGGAAUGCUUGAUGAGAGAGGACGAAUAAUAGGUCAAAGGUCGGUUGAACUAUACGCAAGUUUCAACAAAGAUAAAAGUUGGAAAUUAUUUUUACUUUAUUUAUAAUGUUAUAUCUAAGGAGGGUGUAUUGAAUUAGGAUUUUAAAUGAUAAUUUUUGUUUAAAAAAGUUUUGAAGAUUUUAAAAGACUUAGCAUAAUUUUGAUGACUUUAAUUAUUUUAAAAGACUAUUAAAGAUUUCAAUAGAUUUAAUUCAUAAGGUUUUAAAGGAUUUAAAAUGAUUUUAUGGAUUUCAAGAGACUUCAGCAGAUUUUAUGAAUAUUAAUAAAUAAUUGAAAAAAAAAAUCAUAACACACUCUCUUUCACAAAAUCUCAAUAAAGAUUUUUUUAUUUUUUUAUGUUAUUUUUAUUUUUUACGGGAGAGAGAGGAAAAGAGAGAGUAAUAGAGAAGGGAGGAGAGAGGGAGAGAUAUUAAUAUCUUAAAAGAAAAAAACAAUCUUAACAAAUAUUAUGUUUUCAUGAAAGACUUUUUCAUGCCAAAAUUUCACUAGAAAAUUCCACAAAAUUCAUCAAAAUCUGAUUUAUUAAAUAAUCUUUCAAAAUUUGAAUGAUUUUGAAUACCACUAAACUUUUUUGUAAGUGAUUAAGAAUCUUGAUUGAUUAUAACAAGACUUUUUUUGACUUUUUUAAAUGACAAAAAAUUUUGAUUGAACAAUGCAAAAUUUUUUUUAAAUUGAAAAGAAUCUCAUUAUUGAAUAUCACAAAAUUUUUUCAUUAUAAAACAGUCUUUUAAAAUUCCUUAAAAUCAUGAUCCAAUAUACCCUAAAUGAAUGAGCAAUUUUCUGAAAAUAAAGUAACACAAAUUCAGCCCAUUUUACUUUCUACCAAGUUUUAGGGUUUUGGGUAGAAACAACAGUUACACUUUGUACCAAGUUUUCUUUUCUCGCGGCGGCGAUUCAAGACCUUCGAAAUGGGUAAGAACAAACCAAUCCUUUAUUCUCUCGUACUCAAUUUAAUUGAAUCUGAAUCAUUUAUUCUCAUUUUAACGCAAUAGCUAAAACAUAUGAGCUGAGGCAAAAAACAAAACCAGAUCUUCUGAAUCAAUUGAAGGAUCUGAAAGCAGAACUUGCUCUCCUUCGCGUCGCGAAAGUCACCGGCGGUGCCCCUAAUAAAAUAUCCAAAAUGUAUGCCUUUUCCGCUGCACUUAAUUGUAUACAUAUUUUCUUGUUUUUAUUAUAUAAUAAUGUUUGUUUUAAUUUAAAUACGCUGAGAUUCAGCCCUUAUGUAUCUAUCUAACUUUCUGCAGCAAAGUGAUUCAAAACAAAUUACUAGGAGUGAAUAGGCAAAAACCCCCUGAAAUUGUAACUUUCGUCAAAAACCCCCCUGAUUUUUAAGAAACUUGAAAAACCCCUUUGAAAUUAUCAAACGUCAGUCAAUUACCCCCCUCCGUUUGUUUUGGCUGUUAAAUGACUAUUUUUUUUAUUUCUUUUUGCUUUCUUCAUCUUCUUCCUUCCACUUUUUUCAUCAUCUUCUUCAAUAUUCAUAAAAAAAAAUCCAGAAAAAUUUAAGAAACAACAACCAUUAACAACAUCAUCAUCAACAUCACACACUUUAUAAUGAUUCUCUCUCUCUCUUGUUUGUUACCUUCUUGAAUUAAUCAACAACAACCCUUUGGAAUUCAUCAACAACAAAAUGAAUAAUAGAAAAGAUCAUGAACUUGUUGGAAAAAGAACAAGGUUUAUGAUGAAUAGCAUGAACAACAACAUCAACAACAACGGUUCUUCUCAUUCUCAUGAUGUUACUGUUCCAUCAUCACUCAUGUCUCCUCUUCAGAAUAAAUCACUUUUUAACCCUCAUUCAAAUGGAUUUCCUUUUUGGAGCAGCGAUGAGAUUACCAACAACAAUGAUCAUCAUCAUCAAUUGUCUCUUGAUCUUUCUGCUACGACCCUUUUGGAUAACAACAAUGAGCAACAAACAAGAGAAGUUAGUAAUGAGAUGAUGAUGAUGUUGUUAAUGGUUGUUGUUUCUUAAUUUUUCUGGAUUUUUUAUAAAUAUUCAUGAAGAUGAUGAAAAAAGUGGAAGGAAGAAGAUGAAGAAAGCAAAAAAAAAAAAAUAAAAAAAAAUAGUCAUUUAACUGCCAAAACAAACGGAGGGGGGUAAUUGACUAACAUUUGGCAAUUUCAGGGGGGUUUUUGACGAAAGCUACAAUUUCAAGGGGGUUUUUGCCUAUUUACUCAAAUUACUAGAUAUUUUUAGAUAUUUUUUUUUGUGUGUUUAUGAAUUUGAUUGUUUUUGUUAUUGUUUGGAUGCAGCAAAGUUGUUCGGCUUAACAUCGCACAGGUUUUGACAGUGAUUUCACAGAACCAAAAGACAGCAUUGAGGGCAGCGUAUAAGCACAAAAAGUACUUGCCUUUGGAUCUUCGUCCCAAAAAGACCAGAGCUAUUAGAAGACGUCUCACUAAGAAUCAGGUAUUUUUUUAUGUUCUACAUUGUUUCUGUUUGUGUUCUGUGGUAAAUAAGCAGAGAGGUGUGUCAAUAUUGAAGUGAAUAGUUUAUGAAGUUGGUGAAUUCUGAUUUUCAAAGCUUCUCUUGUUUUGAUCAAUUACUCUAGAGUGUCUUUUUCAUAUUGAACUUAUGGGAUUGCGUAAACAUAGCCGAAUUUUAAUAAAUCUAUAUUGUUCUACUAUCCUCUAUUUAGUAGAAAGUGUUGUCAAAUAGCCACCAUUGCAGUGCGGAAGUAUAGAAGAAUUUGAACAAACUGCUAUUUUCCGUGAUGUGCGAUUGACAACAUUGCAAAAUAUAGGAAUAUGGAACAUUUAUUCCCAUGAAAAUGGGCGUCAAAAAAGUUUCUAUGUAGGUGGGAAUACAUCCAUGUCUCUUUUAAAAUAAAUUUUGGGAAUAUUAUAAAUGUUAACCCAACAUCCUUUUUUAAAAGCUAUGAUAAAACAUCUAUCUUUGUAUUCUAAAGAAAGUUAUUUUCUGGAACAAGUCUAAGGCUUCUUCCAAAAUUUUUGAGAAUAUUAUAACUAUACAGAUUGAAUUUGAAGAUUUCAUCUAAAGCCUCCUUUGACACAAUUCUGAAUUCCUCUAAAUUAGGGGGGAUUUGUUAUGAAAAAAAAAGAACCCUAAAGCCCUUUUCCUCCCAAAGUACUCUAUUUCUUCCACUUGCUCCAUUUUUACCACUGCCCUCCCCUCCUAAACUCCUAAACACACCCUAAAUCUGGAACACUUAAAACAAACACGCCCUUAAGCUUGGAAUGUGGCAGAUUUGACUGUAAUGUUCAGCCACAUUUCUUCAGAAACUCAGAUUAAGCUUGCUUUGUUUAACUGGCAUGGUUUAGGUUAGGCCACAACAUGUGUUGCACAUAUUAAAAUGAAGACGAACAAUUCACUCAUUUUUUCAUAAUUGUUUAUGUGGACAAUAAAUAUGGAUCUUAACUUUAUGCACUAUGAGGGCCCCACAAGAUUUGUCAACAAGACCACACACCUUUUGUAAUAACUCUAGGGACUGGGGGAACUGGGUUUCGUUGUAGAGUUUUGCUGCAAUGGAAUUAUUUUAUCGAUGUGCCUUAUUGGAGCAUAGAUUAUAUAUUUGCCUGUUAUGACUGGUGCAAACCUUUUGUUUUUAUAGAACCUUAGUGUACCUGUUUUGACUUUUGUGACCAAUCUUUGUUGGUGAAGUUGUUUUGAGUAUCUUCUUUUCAUGAAUUCAUUGAAUUGCUGACUGCGGUUUCAUUGAAUAUUAUAAGCAAAAACUCAAUUGUUAGUUUCAUUGAAUAACUGAUGAAUAUGUUGUAUAAUAUUGACCAAAGAGUGUAUGAAUUAUCUUUGCGCCUUACUUUUCAUGAAUUGACUUGGUAUUUCUUACAGCUCUCUUUGAAGACAGACCGUGAGAAGAAGAAGGAAAUCUACUUCCCAUUGAGAAAGUAUGCCAUUAAAGCGUAAUGUUGGACCCUUUUUUUUUUUUUGUGGACAUUUUUCUAAAAAUAUUUGGUGUUGUGUUCUAUGUUUGUUUCCUUGAGUUUAACUUAUCUUCAUGAAAUGGAAUUACAAGUACAUUUGUUCUCAUUCCAGCUUCAGGUUUUUACUGCUUGAACUGUUUGUUUACUUUACCAUUUGGCACAAAUAUGUUUACAAAUAGUCGCAUCAAUAUAUAUGCAAGUAUGAUCGUUGUAACUUGAAUGACUAUGCGGUACGAGAGUCAUGUUGUGUUUGCUCCACUCUAUGUGAAUGCACGUCAUCGUGCGCUACUUCGGACAGCUCCAACACAGGACUAACGGCCUGAGGUAACCUUCCUUGAGGGAUUUCAUCCAUAACAUUAUGCAAUGCAAAGCUGAACGAGUUGGCGGAAACGUCGUUAUUAACGGCUACGACAUAAACAACGUUAUUAACGGGUACAACAACAUCGUUAUUAACGGGAGCUGACUGUUCCUGAUUGUUCAAACCACCUAUUGUAGAAGUUGGGGCUGUAUCAACAUGUUGAACCAUAUGUGUGUAUUUAGCGACAACAGUUUGAGUUAAUGCCUGUUCUUGGUUCUGCUUCUUUGUAAUAUAGAACGUUGAUCUAUACUACUAUGUAUUAUUGCUGUUGAAGCAGGGGAAGAACAGAACAUGUCCAUUCUUUUCAUGGAUAUAAGUUGAAUUGAAGUUAAGUUGUUUAAUUUGUUUGGUUUGUAAAUGGCUUUUUAAGUAGUAGCUGAAGGUAAUGAAGGCUAAAGGGAGUGUAAUUGUAAGAUCUUUCUAAUAUUGAGAGAGGGAAAAGAAGAGAUAAUGCAUUAUUAGGUCUCACUGUAAUGAUGCCUUGGAAGAUUUGGGAUUAAUCUCGAUCUUCAAAGUGCAUUUUCUCUUUAAUCCUUAUUUAUUUUCCUAAAAUAUGUAUCCUUUUAUAUUUUGUUCAAAAUUCAAUUAUCUCCUUUAUUUUUUAAAAUAUUCAUUUUAGUCGUUUAUCUGNACAACGAUAGACGAAGAAAAAUGUUAUGUGAACAAUAGUGAUUGAAUAUUAUGUGAACAAUAGUCGUUUUUUUAAAUAUUUACAUUGAAUGACUAUUGUGACUACUUGUUACAUAUUCAGCUACCAAAGUAAAUUACCCCAUAAUAAAUUUGUAUCGGAAUUUGUGUAUUUUAUUUUAUAUUAAAUAUACAAAUUUUGUUAUAUUUUUAGUUGCUUUUGUUAAUUUAUGUUUUUUUAUAUUUUCAAUAAAAAGUAAUGGAGUAUUUAGAUUUUUUUUUAUGUACAUGAGUCACUCUCUGGUUAAUUUUAUUUUGUAAAUUUUAUUUUCUAUUUAGCAUAAAAAUAUCACGUUGAAUUAGUUAUCAUUUCUUAUCUUUUAGCAUAAGUUUUAUUUUAAUUCUUUUUAAAUUUUUGUUUUGAAGAAGUCAACCUAUACCAUUGAAAUUGAGAUUGGAGAUAAUCAAACCUAAGACCUUGAGAAAAGCAUACUUCAAGGUCUCAAGCCAACGCCUAUUUUAUAGUUUUUUUUAAUUUAUUAUGCACAUGUGCUACAACAAUUUAUAAUUAAAAUAGUUAUUUUUAUGUAGUAAAUAGCUCAACAAAUGACAUCUAGAUUAUUAUUAUAAACAUUGAGUACGAAUAUCAUUACUUUCAUGUUUGCAUCCAUUGAUUAAAUGUGCUACAAUAUCAAUAUAUUUUAUCUGUCUGCAGGAGUUUUUUUUUUUUGAGGGAAUCUGUCCGUACGAGUUAACCUACCCACUUUACCCCUAUGAUGGGUUUUAUCUAUGCAUAUCAACUUAUAUUUUUUGUUAUCCCUAAUAAUUGCUACUUCACUAAAAAAUUGUAAAGGUCUAUUUUUUUAUGCAUUAAUCAGAUACCCUUUAAACGCAAGAGAGGAGUUAGAUAGGGAGAUCCCCUCUCCUCUUCUUUACUGCAUUGUUGAGGAUGUUUUGAGUCGAAACAUCUCCAAACUUGUGGAACAAGGCAAGCUUAAUCUCAUCAAAGGCACCAGAAAUGUUCAAGUUCCUUCUCAUUCUCUUUAUGCAGAUGAUAUAAUGAUCUUUUGCAAAGGAAAACUAUCUUCAAUUAAUGCCCUCAUGGAUUUGUUCAAUUCUUAUGCUUUGACUUCAGGUCAAUUUAUUAAUCCCUCUAAGUCUACUGUGUUUUAUGGCUCAAUUUCAAAUGCAAGGCUGGAGCAGAUAACCAAUCUUAUUGGUUUUAACAAAGGCUCACUCCCAUUUUCUUAUCUUGGAUUACCAAAUUUUAAAGGAAAACCAAAGAAAUCUCAUUUGCAGCCUAUUGCAGAUAAGAUAAAGUCUAAGCUUAGUGCGUGGAAAGCUUUUCUUCUCUCUAUUGCAGGGAGGGAGAGUGACUUUGGUUAAGUAUGUGAUUCAAGGAAUGAUGAUGCACACUAUAUAAUCUGUACUCUUGGCCUAAUUCAUUGCCGAAGGAAGUUGAAGCUUGGAUCAGGAACUUUAUUAAUUUGGAGUGGUGACAUAUCCAAAAGGAAGUUAGUGACUGUUUCUUGGAGUAAAGUUUGCAAACCCUACUCUGAAGGAGGUUUGGGAUUGAGAUCCUUGUACACUUUGAAUGAAGCUGCAAACCUUAAGUUCUGUUGGGAUCUCAAAAAUUCAAAUGAAGACUGGGCCAUUCUUCUAAGAAGUAAGGUGUUUAGAGGAAGCAAAGUAAUUUCAAUGAAAAUUGCAGUGUUAAGUCAGAGAUUAUUAAUAUCAAUGAAAAGUGCAGCUGGAUCAUAGGUAAUGGGGAAAAUAUCAAUUUUUGGCUUGAUCCGUGGCUUGACAACCUGUUGCUUCUAUUCUUAACUUGCCAGGCAACAUUCAUAGUAGUUUAAUAGAUAGGGUUUCUGAUUUUUUAACAGAAACCCUACUCUUUGGGAGAAAUUUGGUCAAUCUUAGAUCAUAGUUGGACUCCUCAGUGCUAGCAGUGUACAUAGGAGAGGACAUGAAGAGAUUUGUGAUCCCUAUAUCAUAUUUGAAGCAAAAAUCAUUCCAAGAAUUGCUGAGCCAAAGUGAGGAACAAUUUGAAUAUGAUCAUCCAAUGGGUGGUCUCACCAUUCCUUGCAGAGAAGACAUUUUCUUGGAUAUCACCUCUCACUUAAUUUGAAUUAGCUCUUUGAAGAUAUCAUAGGACUGACGUAGUUAUUUGACCCAUUUUGUAGCAGUUUAGUUUCUAUCCUUCAGAAGAUUAAUCUUUUGUUGUUAUCAUAGUUGUAAAAAUGUUCAUCUCAAUGAGAAAUUUAUUAACAUCAUUUUCUCCAUAAAUAUAAAUCUGUAAAUCAAAUCAUCUAAUGGAUAAAUGUUCAGUUUAGAAUCUUUAAAUGAUAUAAUGGAAGAUUCAGUUAUUCAAAUAUAAAAUCAACCCCCCCUUUUGCAAAUAUAAAAUUAAAGUUAAAAGUAACUAUCAUGAUUUAACGAGAUCAUAGAUUGUAUAUAUUGAAAAAAAAAAAAAAAAACUGAAGAGAAGCAGAUAAUUAUUCAAUAAAAAUUGGUUAAGCAACAAGUCGCUUUGGCCGAGUGGUUAAGGCGUGUGCCUGCUAAGUACAUGGGGUUUCCCUGCGAGAGUUCGAAUCUCUCAGGCGACGAAUUCUUUUUCUAACAAAAUUGAGUUACUCUACACUUUACUUUAUAAUCAAAUUCUUUAAUGACAAAGUUGUUUUUCUUUUGCUUUGAAAUGACUAGUUACAAUUUUGCUCUCAAAAAAGAAAGUAAUUUCAAUUUUGCUGUAAAAAAAUGUGUAAUUUCACACAUGGGAGAGAUGAAGAACUAAGGGUGUGCACACUUCUUUGAGUUAGAUAUUGUAUUUGGGGUUUGUCGAAAUUCAAGAUAAAUUGACGCAAUUUUUAAUAAAUUAGAGACCAAGAAAAAAAUUGAUGUAAUUUUUAAAACACAUUCCAAGACAUAUCAAAUAAAAUGUGAAACACUUUUUUUUAAUAAAUCAAUACAAUGUUCUUCAACCUCAAUUUAGAACCACUGAUGAGGACAGAAGGGGCAAAAAAUGUCAUGACCAGCUAGAAAUCCAUUUUGGUUUGUAUCUCUCAAAUACAAAUUAUGUAAAACUUCUUUUCUUUUAAACAUUUUGAGGACAGAAAAUCAGUUACCCUUUUUUUUUUUUAGAGAAAAAAUCAAUUACCCUUGAAAACCUCAACAGAUCAUCAUAUACCAUCUCCUAUAUAUAUAUAUAUAUACACUCAAACCAUCCCUCUUUUUUCAUAACUCUUUGCCACUCACACUUACUUUACAAUCAAAGUUCAAAUUCAAAUCUAAAAACAAAAGAGAAAACAAUUCAGAAGAAUGGGUGAUUUACAGAUUCAACAAGAAUCCAUGUUGAUCCCUCACAAACAGAAACAAUCCAUGAUUAUUCCAACAUCAUCAAUGCUUCAUCAUCACACUCACAACAACACUGUCAAACGCCGUUCACCAUCAUCAUCAUCUUAUCACCAACCAUCAUCCAAGAAGCAUUCUUUUGACGCAAGCAAUCUCACCCGUAAUGGCUUCUCUGCCAUUACACUUCCUUUCAGUCUCCGUGGAAAUGCUCUUAGCCGCUGUGUCUCUGAUCCAUGCACCUUUCCGGAUCAAUCCAUGCCGGUAAAAGGGCCGUCAACUGCUUUGCAGCCUCUGCCUCCGAUCAGCAGAUGUAUAUCUGAAGUUAUUGAUCCUACUGAGGUUAAAGAAGCAGUAGCUCGUUAUUUGAACUGUGCUGAAAAAACCACCCCUGAAUCUGAUUCAAUGGUAUGUGUUGAAACUUGUGUUUCUUGCUAAAAAAGUAAACUUUUUUUGAUUUGGAAUAUUGGGUUUUGUUUGUUUUUUGUAGAGGCUUAAAAGGAUGAAGGAUCGGUUAAAAGAAAUGAAGAAAGUGUGGGAUGAAGUUAUGGAAGUCGGGGAAGAAAAUGAAAAAGAACAAGAAGAAGAAGAGCCCUCUCCUGAUGCUGAAGAUAAAAAAGAUGAAAAAGAACAAGAACAAGAAGAAGAACCCUCUCCUGAUGCUGAAGAUGAAAAAGAUGAAAAAGAACAAGAACAAGAAGAAGAACCCUCUCUUGACUCUUUUGUUUCUGAAGAUGAAAAAGUCAUAUCUCAGGUACAUAUCUUGAAUAUUCAACUGUGAUUGAGUUUUCUAUUGUAAUCUUCAAUGUAUUUGGUUCUUUAAUUGGUACUUACAAGUUAUGCUCAUAAAUUUAUAAGUUUUUUCUUGUUUUUAUGUAUAUCCUAGUUGCACUUGCUUAAUUACGUAGAAUCCGGGGGUUAUGGGAAAUUAAAGUAUUGAAUUUGAUCAUAGUUGCAUUUGUAAUUAUAGUUUAUGUGCAGCAAUUUUAACAACUCAAUUAUAUAGGAUCUGGGAUUUAUGGGAAGUUAUUGAAUGUUUCGUUGCUUGUUCACAUAAUUUCUCUUCUGUAGUUAAGCAAUAGUCAUAUACGUUAAUGCUAGUAAGUUGUCCAUCACAGAUCACGGAAAUAGUGGUUUGUUCCAAUUCAGAUUAAUAGUUUUUAUGCUGAACAAUUGAUUUUUGUUUUUGUAGGAUGAAUUGGGAAAUGAUUAUGAAGAAGCUGUUAGUGUGGAGUGGGUUGAUAAGUGUUUAAGCCUUACUUUCAAGUGUCCAUGUGGCAAGGGAUAUGAGGUUCUAAUCUGUGCAAACAAUUGUUACUACAAGUUGGUCUAGAAGAAUCAGUAUGCUUAUUUGUGACAUGGAUCACUUUUGUUUAUAUUCUGUUUUAGUUUGGAAAAAGCUUGUCUGUUUUCAUUUGUAGUAGCACUUGGUUGUCACUAGAAGAACCAGUCUAUAUUUGUAGAUCCUUUACAUUUGUUUUGUAAAUAAGUUGGUAUGUACUAUCUCAACAUUCUUUGAACAUAAUGAAUGAAAUUAUUUUUAUACCAUCUAUCAGUUCAAUUCCUUGUGAAGUAAGCAUUACUAGUUCCUUUAGACAGUUGACUGCACAGUUGGGUUUGCGACGUUAUUAUUGACACAGCUUACUACCUUAGCAAGUACAAAACCUAAAUUUACAUGUGUCAACAUAAAACCUCUGCAAAACAUGCUAUGAUGAGCUACAAAGAAACAAGAACAACAAACCCUUAGCAACAGAAAACACAUGCUAUAUUGCACUCAAUUCAAUUCUGCCUGCAUAUACAGUCAAAAGAGAGACAAGCAAAUAAGUCAGGAGGAGAGGAAACAAGCAAAGUGAAACAAUGAGGUGCAUAUUACCUCUUCAUGUUUCUUUAACAUUUUUAGUAUAUGGAAAACUCUCUUUUCUAUAAUAAAAUAUCUCACUAAAGACUAAAAUUCUCUCUUUUCUAUAUAAUUCAAUCUAAUUAAUUCAACCACCCAAAUUGCGUUGACGACAUAUCAACUCUCCAUGUGUCACGUCGUAAAUAUUCUGAUGUGACACCUCUAAGAAAACUCCACAUUCUUCUAUGUGAACGCAUUUAUGCAUCCAAUAGUAUUCACUACUAGUCAUUUGUCAUUUGAGUUACAAUAUAAUAUAGCCGUUGCAAAUUAAAGUAUUAUUUACUCAAAAUUCAUUGCUUCUCGUCAAUGUCAUUAUUGGUAUUUCACCUUUAUUUCUUUAGCAAUGCAAAACACAUUAAUUUAAUUUGAUGCAUCUUAUAGAAAUUCAUUCUUGGCUCACUUAGAUAUAAUCUCAUCCUCAACUUACUAUAUGUUUUCUCUUGCUUUUGUAAUCAUCCUUUCUCUCAAGGUAAUCAUCUUAGUGAAAGACUAAAGAGCCACAACCCCACAAAACCGGCUUGUGAGGUGAGGAUUGCCUCCACUUAUAAACACUUUGUCAGGAAAUCUCUUAUCCGAUGUGGGACUCUUUAACACCCUGAUUCUGUAAAGGCUUCACAUCAGGGUUCAUAGGAGUAUCAAUUGGUUUACAAUCGAGCAUCCUUGUUUCUUCCAAGAUAUGAAAAACAUAUUUUCUCUGAGAAAUAACAAUGACAGUCUGUGAUUGAGCUACUUCAGUCCGAAGAACAUAUAACAUAACCGACCUAAUUUUUUUUGGAAAGCGGCCGAAUAAAUGUUGUUUUUGGUCUCUAAUUCAUUCUUAGUCCUUACUGGUAAUAACAAUGUCAUUUACACAUAACACAAGAUAAAUGACUUUGUUCGAAGAUGAACUUUAAAAGAAUAUAAAUUGAUCAGCUUCACAAAGAAUCAUGCCAAAUUGUUGAAUAACCUUGCUGAGUUUUCUGAACCAAGAUCGAGGUGAUUGAUUUAUAUCCUCCUAAGCAAUAAAUCCAAGUGGUUACUCCAUAAAUCUCAUCUUCUAUCAGUCGAGAUUUCAAAUAAUCCACCUGUUUAUGUUGGCCUACUUUAAUAGCAAGGGCCCACUAACAACCAAAUUUAGAGUUUCAAGGAGGUAUCAAGCUAGAUUUCAUGUACCACUAGACUCCAAUGCAUUCAUUUCAUCAAUCAUUGUUUUUUGCCAUCCUGGAUGGGAUAUUUCUUCCUGGGCGAACUUAGGAAUUGAGAUAACGGAUAUUGCAAAGACAAAAGCAUAGUGGGAUUGAGACAAACCAUGAAAAUUCAAAAGGUUAUACAUAGGAUGAGAAUUAUAAGUAAUCUGUUUACCUUUUACGAAGAGUAAUAUGUAAGUCAAUCGAAGGAUCAGGUGGGACCACAGUUGGGCAAAGGAUUGGAACCGAACCCGUAUCACUAAAAGAGGUAGGAAGAUUCUCUUGAGCUAAAUUGCCAAAAUCAGUUGGAGCACUCUCUCGAACUUUGACAUGUCAACGUUGAUAAAUAAUACCAUAAUAAUGAAACUUAGAACCACUAUGUGACCGUGGAGGUCUGUGAGUACAGACAAGUGUUUCAAAUAUAGGAAUAGGUAGCACAUGAGUACUAUCAUCUUUUGCAGAAUCAGAUGUAGCUGGUGUCACAAGUAUUUUCAAAGAAUGUAACAUUUGCAGAGAUAUAAAAUGGAUGUGUAGAUGGACAAUAACAUUGAUACCCCCUUUAAACUCUGAACUACCCCGGAAGCACACACACUUGAUAAACUGUGCCGACAAUCUUUCGCGACCAGGAGAUAGAUCAUGAACAAAAUAAGUGGAUCCAAACACUCGAAUAGGAACAAAAUAAAGGAGGUCCUUAUGAAACAAGUGAAAUGUGGAAUCACAUUAUCCAAUAUUGAAAAUGACUUGUAGUUGAUCAAAUAACAGACGGUGAAAAGUGCAAUACCUCAAAUUUUGAAAGAAGCAUGAGAAUUGAUCAAUAAGGUACGAGCUGUAUCAACUAGAUGACGAUGUUUCCGCUCAGCGAUACUAUUUUGUUGUCGUGUGUGUGGACAACUAGACUUAUGGUUUGUGCCCUGAGAAGUCAAGAAGAAGUUGCAUCGUGAAGAAAAGAAUUCUUUGGCAUUGUAACUAACACUUAUAAGAGCGGGUAAUCGAAAGCCCAUUUUAUGUGCUUAUUUGGGAAAAGAAGAACAGAGCAAAGAUAUAAAUAUAUUAAGAAGGAUGUAACUAACACUUGACGUUGCCAAUGACUAAUGUUGUUUUUGAAGGAAAUAGCAAGUAUAUUUAUAAUUAUUGAGGUUCUCUGAAAAGUGAAAAUCCGAUUCCAAUCUAAAAUAUUAUUUGAAAGAGUUGAAAGUUAAAGAGCAUAAGAUAAUAUAUCAUGUGGCGUUGUCUUAAGAUUGCAUUUAUCGUACCCCACCUUCUAAGAAAAUGGCCAAUAUAAAGCAUCCACUUGCAACCAAAUGAGACUUUCUCAAGUGCAGAGCAGCCUCAUAUCUGUUCGUGCAUUAAUUACUACUUCAUAAUUAUGAAAACAUGCUUAGACAUGUUUUUUUUUUAUUAUAAUAGUGUUGAUGUCCAGAUGCUAAAUUAUACUUUCAAGUUGAUUAAUUAUAUGCUGGCCUCUGCUCAACAAGGUGGGACUUGCAUUAUCUAUCUACCACAACAUUUGAUGUUGAUCUUUGAGAAAGUCCUCAAAACUCUUAAGACAACACCAUGUGAUGUUUCAUAUGCUCUUGUCUGACCAUGACUCAAAUCUUAUGGCCCUCAUUCACUGAGCAUUAUAGUUGCCGACGAUUUGUUAAGUAUCCUUUCAUCUAUAUAUAUUCAUGGCUGCAAGCCUUUAGCACCAACACAAAUCAUUCACAUUCCAACUCUCAUUUGAAGUUCAAAAACUUGACUCUUUUCUAUAUACAAGUUUGUCUAUUUUAGACCAAUCUCUUCUUUUCAACACAUACAAUACGACAAUGGGUUUCCGUUUACCUAGUAUCAUCAAAAGGUCAUCAUCUUCAAAAUCUGUGGGCGUUCCAAAGGGAUAUCUAGCAGUGUACGUAGGAAAGGAGAUGAAGAGAUUUGUGAUCCCUAUAUCAUAUUUGAAGCAAAAAUUAUUCCAAGAACUGCUGAGCCAAAGUGAGGAACAAUUUGAAUAUGAUCAUCCAAUGGGUGGUCUCACUAUUCCUUGCAGAGAAGAAGUUUUCUUAGACAUCACUUCUAGCUUGAAUUGAAGUAGCUCUGAAGAUAUUAGAAGAUUGACAUAGAUAUCUGAUCAAUUUUUGUAUGAAAUUAGUUUCUAACCUUCAAACGAUUUCCACUUUUGUUGUUAUCAUACUUGGAUGUAAAACAUUCAUCGGAAUGAGAAAUUUAUAUACACUAUUACAUUAUUUCUCUAUUCCUUCCUUCCUCUUAAUUAUCAAUAUGAAAAUCGAUUGCUAAAUGUUCAGUUUAUGAUAUCUCUGACAAAAUGAAAAAUUC
This 52130-nucleotide long non-coding RNA is filed under the name Medicago truncatula (barrel medic). Its description in RNAcentral is "long non-coding RNA (MTRU_LNC002001)". The stretch from base 19495 to 19658 matches the Rfam family "MIR2606 microRNA precursor family". Lineage: Eukaryota; Viridiplantae; Streptophyta; Magnoliopsida; Fabales; Fabaceae. The record is from RNAcentral.